GUAAUAUUUUAUAUAGUAACUAUUAUUUCUAUAAAAGAAAAUUUUCUUUACUGAUAUUUGAUUGUGUCACGAUAAAAGUAAAAGUAAAGAGAGAAGAAAAAAAAAUAGGGGAGAGAAAGUGAUCGAGAUAGAAAGUAAGAGAAAGGGAGGAGAGAGAAGUGAAGAAUUAGAGAAAGUGCAAAAAAAGAAAGUGCAAAAAAGAGAGAAUGUGAAUAGAAAAAAGAUGAGAACUAAGGAGAGGGAAGGUGAAGGUGAUAAAGCAAGAAUAGAGGAACGAAGGAGAAAGAGAAAAUAAGGAGAGAGAAUGUGAAGAGACAGUGAGGAGAGCGAAAAUAAGGAGAGAGAAAGUGAAGAGACAUGAGGAGAGAGAUCUAGAGUGAGGAGAAAAAAAAACAAAAAGAGUGAAGAAAGAAGAGAGUGAGGCGAGAGAAAAAAGAAAGUGAAGAAAAAGAAACCGAAUAGAGAUAAAAUAAGAAGAGAGAAAAGGGAUACAAAGAGAAAAGAAAGAAAGAUAAUGUAAGGAAGAGAGAGGAGAGAGAAAAUAAAGAGAGAAAUUAGGAGAGAUAAAGUAAGGAGAGAGAAAGUGAAGGAAGAGAAAAUAAGGAGAGAGAAUGGAAGAAGAGAUAAAGAAAAAAAGAAUAGGAGAGAAAGUAAGGAGAAAAAAAAAAAAGAAGAGUGAGAAAGUAAGGAGGGAGAAAAUAAGAGAAUGAUAUACCAAGAUUCAAAAUUUUCUCACUUUUAUCAACUCUUUUUUUUUUUUUAAUUUGGCUAAUUGUACUUUAGCUCUUGUCUCAAUUACCUCCCUACAUAUAAAUAGUGUCAAUUAUCCUCCUACACUUUGUCCUCAAAUAGGUUCAGCUAUUUGGAAUAUUUGAUAGAUGUUAUUAUUUACUCGCGCAUAUACACACUUCAAAUCAAUCAUAUUUAUAUGGCAUAAGUUGGUAAAGUGUUUAGUUAGGAGAAGUAUGGCAAUGUGCUAUUGAAAUAAGAACUAAGCUAAAUGCUUCAAAAAGCACUACUACUUGGUACUUAUAAUUUUUUAGUCUUUGGAUCAAUAUUUUUGGUCAUUGGAUCAAAAGCCAAUAAUGAUGGUUAAUUACUUGUAUGGUCCAUCUAUGCAUGAUCCAAAAGUGCGGUUAGAAUAAAUCCAACGGCUACCCCAAGUCAAACUCUUAAAAUUAGUUUAACCAACUUCAGCUUUUAGCUUUUAUGCUAUGUAUAGAUAUUUGAUUAGAUGUAGUUAUUUUGAAAAAGAUAUAUGUCAAAUCAAUUAUAUUUGUACUAUAUAUGCAAGUUAGUAAAACGACUAGUUGGGAGGAAUAUAGUAAUUUCAUGUUGAAAUAAUCGUUAAAUAAAAAUUUUUUUUUUUUUUAGAAAAAGGUAGCACGCUACCUGCUUCAUUCAUUUAGAGGAUGAAUUAGGCUUACAUAAUGGAGGCAGCCGGGGCCUCCGACGGGAGAAAGAGCGUCAAAAGCCAGAAAAACAAAGACAAGGAACAAAAACGACAAGAGACUAAAACCAAAAAGGAAGGAAAUGAGGGGAAGGGGAGCAAAAGCGACAAAUAACUAAAACCAAAAGAGGAAGAAAGAAAGAGUAAAAACGACAGGCGUCAAACAGCAGGGAUCCAGCAGGGUCAACAAGGAGUGAUCCAGGUGUCAAGCAGCAGUUUCGCCCGUUCCAGGCACCGAAUAGGGUUGGGGGCAAUCUCUCGAAAGAUUAAACCGUUUCUUUCCGUCCAAACGACCCACCAAAUAGCAGAAAGGAGCGAGAGGGAAAUAUGUCUGUCUUUGGCGUCUCUUAGAUCAAUAAGUUUAGACCAGAGGUCUCUCACAUCGUCCGCGGGAUCAGACAGAGCCUCCAAGCCGCCUACGCUCAGUAAAAUGAAGCGAACAAAGACACAGGAACUCAUGAGGUGGUCGCAACUUUCCAAAUUAACGGCACAGAAAAAACAUGUUUGAUCCGGUAGCCACCCUUGCUUAUGGAUCCUGUCUGCAGUGGGGAUCCUCUUACGAAGUAGUAGCCAUAAGAAUACUUUGAUCUUGCCAGGAAUAUUCAAUUUCCAGAUAUGUCGACUUAGGGGGUCCACCAUGCCUGAGUCCGUGAGAAAGUGAUAGAGGGAUCUGACUGAAAACUUUUGGUUGGAGGUCCAAUGCCAUUUGAUCUGGUCCGGGAGCUGAGUUGGCCGGAUGGACCGAAGCAAGUCCAUAAGCAAGCCCUUUUGUCUAUGAUAGUUCACGGGUAGAGGCCCUGCUGGACCGCGGCAGAUAUAUUGCCACCGCCAACCAUUAGGGCCCCAGCUCUGAGCAAUAGUUGUCUCUUUGUUUCGGGUAUGGCUGUAGAUGUCGGGGAAGAGAGUACAAAGGGGAGCCUCGCCGUACCAAAUUGAUGACCAAAUCUUAAUAUCUUUGCCGUUUCCGAGGUUGUAGGUUGUACCGCAUUUAAAGAUGUCCCGGCAUCGCAUUACAUUUUUCCACCACUGAGAAUAUGGUACGAAGGCCCCGCCCUCAUUCAGAGGUUUGCGUCUAAUAUAAUAAAUCGAUUUGACUAACUUCUUCCAAGGUAGAUCUGGUUCGCUAAAGAAGCGCCACCACCACUUAGUUAAAAGCGCUGUAUUCAUAGUCGCCAAAUCCUUGAUUCCAAGGCCUCCUUCUUUUUUGCUUUUGCAGACUGCUCUCCAAUUUAUGAGGCAUGCCCCUUCAGAUAUGUUUGUGCAUCCGCGCCAAAAGAAAGCUCUUCUCAAGGCUUCAAUUCGGCGCAGAGCCCAUUGUGGAGCUUUGAAGACGGAGAGGAAGUGAAGUGGCAUAUUUGAAAGGACAGAGUUCACGAGGAUCAACCUCCCUCCUUGGGAGAGGAGUUUGGCCUUCCACCAUUCAAUCCUCUUAUCAAUGCGGUUGAUAAUGAUCGACCAGUCCUCUUUUCGCAAGGAUCUAUUGCAAAGGGGUAGCCCCAGAUAGCGGAUAGGGAGGCUUCCAACUUGGCAGCCCAGGAUGUUAGCAAGCCUGGUAGCUCUAGAGGUGUUUGAGCCCAGAUAGUACAGUUCGGACUUGUCCAUAUUGAUUCGGAGUCCAGAGGCCCAUUCAUAAAUUUUCCAUAAGAAACGCAAAUUUCGCAGGAUAUAUUUCCUGGGCUCGCAGAAGAAGAUCGUGUCGUCGGCAAAUUGAAUCAGAAUAGUCUGACAGUCCGAAGUCGGGCCAAUUCCCCGAAGAAGGCUAUUCCUGCAGGCCAUGUCGGAAAGUCUGGAAAGACAAUCUGCAACUAUCAAGAAGAGAUAGGGGGAGAGAGGGUCGCCUUGCCGAAGACCCUUUCGUGCUUUCAGCCAGUUUGUAGGAGUGUUGUUCACAAGGAUGGCUAAUUUGGGAUUACAGACGCCUGUUCAAUCCAGGACCACCAUUUCUCACUAAACGCAAGCAAAAACAUGAUUCUUUUCAGAAAGGGCCACCGAACGUUGUCGAAAGCCUUUUCAAAGUCCGCUUGAUACUGACGCAUUCUUUCCUGGUUUGUGGAGCAACCAACUGACUAGUUCGCAAGCGUUGACGAACGAGUCCGGCAAGCAGUCGGUCUUUGAGGAAAGCCGAUUGGGAAGGAGAAAUAAUAGACGGUAGAACAAGGGCAAUCCUAUUCGCAAGAACUUUGGAAAUAAUUUUCUGAUGGCCGUUGAUGAGAUCUAAUUGGGCGAAAAUCCUUGGCCUGGUACGCGCCUUCUUUCUUCGAAUGAGGCAGAUGAAGGAGUAAUCAAUCGGGGCUGUGAAAGCGUGCCCCCUUGGAGAUCAAUGAAAACUGUAAAUGUCGUCUUUAACAGUUUCCAGCAGAAAGUUUGGUAGAAGAUAAGUGGAAACCCACAGGUCAGGAGCUUUAUCGCUACCAAGUUGAAAGUAGCAGCCUUGACUUCCUCCAUGUCGGAAGGGGGCAGUUAGGUACUCAGGUUGUAGUAGCGUGUUGGAUUGGAAAGAGCGCUCCAGUCCCCGAAGGAGGAAGGCCUCCUCUGCCUGACAGAACAAUCGCGAAAAUGCUGAUAGAAAAGGAUCUUUUGUGAUCCUCCGUAGUCUCCAGUGUCGUCUCUAUUACUUCAAUGGAGUGGUGCGUUUCCUGCCGUUGGCCACAGCAUGGAGAACUUGGUAUUAGCGUCUCCCUCAUUUGAGCCAAAAUUGUUUGGACUGGUUUUCCAGGAGACUUCUUCUUCCAAAAUCUGUGUGAGUUUGAUUUGAUGGCGUUCUCUCUUUUCGGGAGAUCUAAGCUCAGAUUUUGGAGCUCUUUUAUCUGAUCAAUUAGACUGAGCUCGUCCAGAGGGCUUCUUAGCUACGAUAAUAUUGUAAAAGUUUGAUUUGCACCAAUUCCUUUCAUACGAACUCUGCACGUGCCGUCAGUUUAGCAGCUAUAGUGAAGGAUCGCUGAUCCUUUAGGGCUGACUUCGUUCCACCAUAAGUGGUACUUUGGAGAUAAAUCCGCUUUCGUGAGCCAGACCUUUUCAAAACGAAACCUACGCGUCGGAGGCGGGAGCCUAGAGUAGAGGAGAAUCGGAGUAUGAUCAAGGUGAUUCUAGGGAGGGCUUUGGCCUUGCACAGGUGGAUGAGAAGAGGUCCCAUUCCGUGGAGACGAGGAACCUGUCUAUUUUGGCAUAGUGGGUGUACGAUGCAUGUUAGACAAGUGAAGCUUUGAUUUGAAAGCGAACAUCAAUCGACCUCUAGGAUUGAUAAGAUCCGAGAACUAUGUCCAUGGAUUUCUAACUCAAGUACGCCCCAGUCUUUCGGUUUGAUUUCUGGUGAAGUUAAAAUUCCCACGAUGACCGCCAGCUGGUGCGCAAUUAUCUUUUGAGGGAAGCCAAUUCAGACAGAAGGUCCUUACCCUCCCAGGUGGGCGGGCCGUAAAAUAGUGAUGAAGAAAGUCGAGCCGCUCGCGGUGAUGGGAGAGGCGUACAGUAAGAGAGUACGACGAACAAUAACUUUAGUCGCAGCAAAGAACUCGAGCACCAACAGAUAUAAGACUCCUGAGCCCGACGGCCGGCAAAAAGUGACAUUUUCAACACUGGAGCCACAACAUGAUCUAAGAAAGACGCGAGAUACAGAGUCGACUUUAGUUUCCUGAAGACAGACAACUGCACUGUAGUGGCCUAGACACGAUAGAUUAUAACUAGACACUUUACGAGGAUCAUUGAGAUCGAACGUUCCAAUUAAGAAAGAAGACAUAAAAAAGAGACGACCCCAGAGAACAACAUCAGAACAGUAAAAGGGGAGAGAAACAAAGUUAAAUAGACCCCGCGGACAGGAAGUUUUGGAGAUCCUCGCUCAGCAUCAGAAAUCGCUACUCCAAGCAGAAGACUCUUCUUCUUGAUUCUAGAGCGAGACAGGUUUACGAGCGGAGCGGCCCGGAUCAGACGAAGAUCCUUCCAAAAGUUUAGCUUUCCUGUUCAUUUGCUCGCCGAGCACGUUGACAUCCGUCAGAUUUGAGAGUCUGGCUGCUUACCCUAAAGGGGGGGAGGGGCUCCACCAGACAGUUAGGAGGGGAGGGUCAGCAGAGUGAAGGGGGGGAGCAAGGGGAGCAAGCUGGCAGGAUAGUGAAGGCCAAGGCCGGCCCGCAGGAGAUAGCAAGGUGGGAGGCAGCAGGUGGUCUCCGGCCCCCGGGAGGGAGGGCGCGCCAUGGGAGGAGGCGAGCCGGGGGGCUUCGGGCUGGCAGGAGAGCUCAGGGAGUUCAAGCCCGGACAGAGGGAGCACCGAUCAGGGGAGCCCGAGCGGCGACUGGGCCAUCGAAGGCCCACGUUGGAUUCACAGAUAGUUCCAGCAAGCGGGAAGGCAGGCGGGGGGGGGAAGGGCGGCGAGCCGGCGGAGAGGGGUGGACGCGGGCUGGCGGAGAGCACAGGCGGCGGGAGCUCGAACCGCGGCAGGGGCUCGGACCAGCGGAAAGGCACAUGCCAGCGGGGGAGGUCGAACCGGCAGGGGGGGGCUCGGACCGGCGGAGGGCACAGGCCGGGGGGGAGCUCGAACGGCGGCGGGGAGCACAGGUCGGCGGGGGAGCUCGAACCGGCAGGGGAGCUCGGACGCACGGGAGGGCACAGGCCGGUGGGGAUUUCGAAGCGCGGCGGCGAGGGCACAGGCCGGUCGAGAGAGCACAGCCGGGGAGGCUCAGGCGGCAGGGGAGCCGUGGGCCGCGGAGGGCUCGGGUUGGCUGGGGGCUCGCGCGGACGGGAAGGGCAGAGGAGGCCGAGGCCGGGCUCUCCAAGGCCAGGCCCAAGUUGGGCCCACCGGUGGAGUCCAGCAAAUGGCUUCCCGGGCUCUCCAAGGCCAGGCCCAAGUUGGGCCAACCGGUAGAGUCCAGCAAAUGGCUUCCCAGGGAGAAGAGGUGGGCCUGGGCCGUUCGCAGACUUUCCAAGGUCCAACAGAAGGAGUCCCAGGUCCAUUUGAAUGACCCGGGGCCCAGUGCAGGGUAGAUAUGUGGGCCAGAAAAAAGCGCAGCGAAGAGGAGGCUUCGCGGCAGUCCCGUCGGACAGAGGCCCAAAUAACGUAGUUUGAAAUUUGAAACAGAGCAGUACAGUACUGGACCUGAGGGGGAGAGGCUCCAAGCAGAAUAAAUGCGCAGGGACUUUUCCCGAUAAGCGAGGCUUCUACAAAAGCUGAUCCCGGCUUGAUCCGAAGGGCUCAUCUUCCAACAACAGGCAGAAGAUGAGCGAGGCUGAGUAGGGUGAGACAAAAGGAGGCAUGAUCAGCAGGCAGACCAGUACUUUCUCCAACAAGUGGAUCAACUUGCACUAAGGAGGAAAGAUUUGGAAAAAGGCAAAUCUGGCCCUUGGGGUACGGGAUGCGGUCAGUCGAGGCGUCACCGACCGGAGAGUCAGCUGAGGCGUCACCGAUCGGAAUACCAGCCGGCCCCGAUCCCGUGGAGGCCUCGGCCACAGGCGCCGACCCCGACCCCAGGGAGGUCAGAGAAGCCUCAGUCACCGGCACCGACCCCAAUUCCAGGGGGGCGAUGAGGCCCAGUGAAGGUGGUUGGCAGCGCCUCCGAUCUCGGAUUUCGGAGGAGUCAGAGGAGCCGUCCGAGUUGGGGUCGUCGUCGUCCAGAGGCCUCCGCGCUCGUACUUCACCAAAGUACCGACGUUCAACCUCUAAAGAUCUCAUGUCAGGAUCGAAAUGGUCCGUUCGCUCGUUGGGCGGGGGAGGAGGAUCACCACCGCCAUUGUCCCUGUCCCGAGCCCAACGCUCAAGUUGGAUUAGGACCGACAUAGAGACGUCCCCGAAGGCGACGUCCAGAUUCUCGGGUAUGUCAUGGAGGUGGUUGACGGCUACGAGGCAGCGGUAGCCGGAGAGAUCUAUCAUGCGAGUCGUGUGCUCAUCCGCCCUGAUGAACCGGGUGAAGUCGCCGACGAUAGCCGCAACGGUACGGGAAGACCAACAUUCAUAGGGAAGAGAUACCAGUCUGAUCCAAGCUUUGUAAGGGGGAGAAAAACGGCGGGCGCCACUGUAGGGAUUCCAGGCAUAGCAUGGUAAUCUAAUAUCCCCCAGGCUGAGGUUUUGCCUUCGGACAAGGGAGUCGCUUGGAACCCAUUCUGGAAGAAACACCACGAACUCUCGUUCCCUGUAGCGAGCCACCAGAAAGUCCAUGGGGAAGCCUUCGAAACGGUUGGCGAGACCGUUGGCGAUAGUGUCUUGAGCGAAGUGGCCAAGAUUCGCGGGGGGAACGACAUCCACAAGGAGUGCAUUGCGGCGCCUGUUCUGCCGGGCAAAGAAGUCUUCUGUCUGCGGAACAAAGACGUUCAGGUAAGCUGGGCGAGCGCGCAUGUAGCGGUAGACGUCCAUCGGGAGGCGAUCCAUGCAGCUCCGCGCCUUGUGACCCGUUUUGAGGCACAGAGCGCACCGCAAAGGCUCCCGGCAAGCGGCCGCUCUGUGGUUCCGUCCUAGGCACCGGAAACACCGAUCCUUGAAAGAGCGCUUGGGGGGAGUGUUGCGAAGAGUGUUACGAAGAGGUGGUGGAGGGUGGCGCGAAGGGAGAGAGGCACGGGAGCGAUGCGCGGGAGCGAAGAGCAGAGAUGGCGGCGGAGGGUUGCGUGAAGAGGAGGGUGGGGCUGAGGAGAGGAGGGCCUCUUUGUAGGACGGUUUGCCGGGAGGAGCGAGGCGUCCGUUCCUUUUGUAAUGCACUUCGGUCCAAGGCUGAUCCGCAGGCGCUCCCUUGCCGUCCGUGUCCUUUACAGCUGGAGCAGGAGCACUAGGGGCAGUAGGGGAGUCGUCCUUGCUGAAGAAGGUAACUUGAGCCAGGUCCAGUCCAGCGGAGUCCGCCCAGAUCACCUUCUUAGCUAAGGAACGAUCAUUAAUGCUGGAGCUUGAGGGGUGGGUGGUUGCCAUAACUCCAUAUCCCAGAUGAUGUUUAAGCUCCUGAAACCUCCGCUCCAAGUCUAUACUCAGUCCAGAUGAAAUGACGUUCCCUAGCUGCCUGGGACAGGGGGCCGCCGUCGUCCCUAGCACCGUCAUGCCUGUUGUCUUGGCCGUCGUGCCUGUCGUCUUGGCCGCCGUCUUCCCUGUCGCCGUAAUCGCCGACUUCCUUGUCGUCGUGAUCGGUGUACAGGCGAUCGCCUUCCCCUUCUCUCUCUCUCUCUCUCUCUCUCUCUCUCUCUCUCUCUCAUUUUUUUUAGCAAUUUUUAACAUAACAUAUGUAAUCGUUAAAUAAAAUUGUUCUUAUACGCAAUGGCAAAUAUCUCAUUUGACUCCGAAGUGUGAGAAAUAUUUUGGGUUUCACGAAGAUAUCUUUAAUUAUAUAGAAUCCCCUCUAAAAUUGGAUACCAAAAAUAUCCAUCUAAUUUAAAGAAAUUAUCAGAGUUAAUCAAACAUUGAUGAUAAUUCUUUUUUAAAAUUUCUCAGAAUUUCCACUUUGCCCUUUAUCAAUCAUCAACGCCUUUUUGAUUGAGCCAAAGAUUUCUACCUUUAAAAUAUUAUAAAUGCAGUUGGUUUUAUAUUAUUUUUUUUAUCCUCAUGACCUUAUAUGAACCUAUCUCAAAAACUUUCCAAUUAUAGUAAAAACCGAAAUUCUAGUGCAUGAUAGUCCUAAUAGAAUUACGAUUAAGACAAAAGUCCUAGCCUAAUUCGGAUAAAAAAAAUAAUAUAAAACAAAAGAAUAAAAUUUUCUUAAGAAAGAAUAACUAAAAUUGACGUUUCUUAAGAAAGAAUAACUCCAAUUAAAAAGAGGAGCCUAUUAAACUACUUGAUAAAGUUUUUGGGGGUUUUAAUUGCCAAAAUAAAAAGUUUAGGCACAUGUUUCAUUUUUCCCAUAAAAUUUUGUAUAGUGCCUUGGUUUUUCUUUUUUUUUUUAAAUUUUUGAUAGAACGGUGGCAAACUACCUGCUUCGUUCAUUUUUUUUUUAAAAAAAAUGAGCUCAAAUAGAAAUGUGAAGUAAUUAGGUUUCGAACUUGGGAUCUUAGAUACAGACCAUUAAGCCCUUAGCUUGAAUUAUUGUAUGCAUAAAAACCAAUCAAAGUCUACAAUAUCAGAUAUAACAAUCUAUCCAUACAUGGCCUGUAAGGAUUAAUGUAUUGUGCCCAUUAGCAUUUACCAGUCCUCAAAUUUCCAGCUAAGUUUCCAUUCUAGUUCUUAAAACUUCUGAGUUCGAUGCUCUUGACCUAACUUUUUUCCUUAAUUUUAUAAAUAUUCUGUUCUUCUCCAAAGUUCGUUUGUUUAAUAUCUAAAUAAAGAAAAGAUUGUAGUUUGUGAGAUGAUAAGGUUAUUAAAAUAUAAGAUAUCAUCAGGGGUUAAUAAAGACAGUGCAUAUAUAAAUGCAUAGAUCCAUACACUGGGUGUAGGCUAUAAGUUUUUCACUAAUUUAAUAAGGACACAAUGGUUAAAAAUAAUAUAAAAAAAAUCUAUAUUUUAUCCAUACAUUAAUUUUCACAAUCGUGUUCUUGGAGCAAAGUAGUGAACUUGAGAAAUCAUGUUAUCUGUGCCACUAUAUUUUAUCCAUACAUUAAUUUUCACAAUCAAUAGAUAUAUAUGUUUCAAGUAGUUGGCAUAGGUGCAAAAUGUUCUUGUUUUACAUGAACUUACGUACAAAUUAAGAACUCAGUGGAGUAAAACAUUUCAAAUUCGAGCUGCUUCUUAAGUCUCUUUCAAGAUAAUUAAUGUUGAAUGGUAGUGGGUUUCACAACCAGGCUAAAACAGUGUCAUUUUAGUUGAUGCCAAAAUAUUGUUGUUUGUAGCAUAUUGUUUCAUGGACCCCAGCUGCCUCAUUUGAUUGUGGGGGAUGUUGUUGGAAACUGCAUGUGCGCGAGAUGUGUACAAAAAAGCGUAUUGAGUAACAAAUUUGAAAGAGUAUGAGUGAUGAAUUCAAAAAAGAGUGUGUGAGCAAUGAAUUGAGAUGAGUAAUAGGCGGUCCUUAGUUAUGGCUUAUUUUGUUUCGAUUGCAAGUUCUGCAUAUUGAUGAAAACAUUUUUUUUUUCUGGAAAUAAAUAUGUAGGGAAGAUCCUUGAAAAGUAGGUUGUCGACGUCCCCACAUAUUUCAAGCAAAUACUUAUGAUGCACUGCUCGUUAGCUUCAACGUACUAAAAGUACGUGAAGGUGUACAUAAAUAGCGAAGAAUACAUACGGAAAGGACUUUAUGCAUGACGAGAUCAUUGGACUUGCGUGUCGACUCUACACAAUUAAGCUCUAGACAAUAUAUAGUAGCAGAGAUUUCGAAAACAAUGUUGCUCAUUUCACUGCGUUUGUAAUUUGAAAAUGAAGUAUAAAUUAAGGGAGGAUAAUAUUGGAAAUUCUAAUCCGAACUUCCUCCAAGAUAUAGAAAGAGAUAACGUUUAUCCUUGAAAAUUAGGUAUAUGAGAAAUAGAUAUAUGUUCAUCCUUGGAAAAUAGCUACCAAAUUUGCUAGGUAAUUGAGAGACAAUUUGUUCGGUUUAUAUGAUUAUAUACUCCAUAGCAUUACUAUAUAUCGUCGUAUGACAACAUGUCAAUAAUCAUAUUCUUUAGUUUUAAGCCUAUUUGAUAUAAUGGUAAGGUGCAAGGAAAAAGUUAAAUGAAACAAUAUAUGUUUCAUAUAUGUGGUUCUCGAUCUUGGUGCUUUUUUCUAAUGAUUUUCCACAUAAUUUUUAAUGUUUAUUUAUCCAGUGGUCUGAUUUAGCUUUUUUCUUUCACCUUGAUCUUUUCAUAUUGCAAUUGCUAGCCCAGAUUGGCCCUAAACUUUUCCAAACCCAUAGUCACCUCCUCGGACUUACAUAGUUCGCAUUCCCCCCAUGAAAUUAUUAACAUGGUCCCUUACCACAUCUACUUAUAUAUUUUAAUUCAAACAUGAUCUAUAAAGUGGUGCAAGCAACUUAUCUAAACAAAAGGUUCAGAGAUAAUGGUCCCUUCCAUGUAUUCGAAAGCACCAAAACAAGUUAUUUAAUAAAAGCUUUGAUACCUUACUAAUAUUUCUUUCGAAUCUUGGACCACUCUACAUGGCUAUACAUAUAUGCUUUAACUAGAAAGAAGGUGAUGCAUCAAUUAAUAUACGAUUCUCCUUACAUUUAAGAUAAUUUAAUCAUUAUAAUGAGCUGCAAAACCACUUUUGGAAUCCCAUGAACGUGUCGUGUUAUAUAUGCUCCCAACAUACAUAAGAUGAGAUUGUAACUGGGGUACCGAGAGGCUAUGCAAGGAGGGGACGGGGACUUCGAGAAAAUGGGAAAGCAUGCAUCCUUUUCUGAUGCAAUCAUCUGCUUUCAUGAUAAAGUGAUGUCCCCCAGUGCAGGAUCCACUUGUGGAAAAGAAAGAUGAAAUAAACCGUGCAUGCUCUUCGAUGAACGAAAACAAACUCCUUACAUAGGGAGCUCCCUAUAGAAGUUUUUAUGCGGAGGGACUCGAUGGAUGGAUCAAUCAUCCACUAACUAAGCUUUCCAGCUCGAUUAUUAAACCUGCAACUGGUAUAUUUCUAAUUAGAAAAAAAAUUACUUAUUUAAAGAAUUUAAAUUAUUAGUUUGAUUGUUGGAAUUAGAAGUAUCGGUAGGAUAUAUAUAUAUGAACGGCAUCCAAAUCUUCGAUAAAAUAUCCUUGAUAAUUAAAGAGUUCGGUCUUAAACUUUAUCCCGCUUUAUUGGGGUCUGAGCUGCGCAUGCGUGGUUGCUUUCCGAUAACAAAAGAGAUGCGAACCAUACUGCUUUACACGUAAAAGUAAAUAGAAAAAAAAGUUAAAGUGCAUGUAAAUUACUAAAAUACAGACCAUUUGCAAAAUUCAAAUGUUUUCAUUGUGGUACCUGAACUUUCUAAAAUUCUCAUUUUAGUAGCUACAUAUUAAUUAUUCGAGAAAAUUUUGCCAACACAUAUCCAUGGGUUUACAUAUUUAUGCACUAUCCCACUCUCCAAUAAAGAAAGUUUACAGUUAGAUUAAUGAUAAGAAGAGAAGUAUGAGACGCAAUAAAGAGCAGUUAGGAGAGCAGCGUAUAAAUGGGCAAAUGCAUGUACGUGAUGCAGAAAAUAAUUUCUACAGCUAUAUAUUAUAGACAGGGGGAUGUACUAAAAUGGUAAUUUCAAAAAGAUUAAGCAUUAAAAAUAAAAUUUAUAAACUUUGGACGCCUAUUUGAAAUGACGAGUUGCCUGUAGGGUAAUUUGACUAAGAAACAGUUAAUGUAUAGUAAAUUUAUCCACCAAAAGAUAAGAAUAAUAAUUAGUUUCAACAUGGAAUUUAGCAAUCUUUUCGGAGCUUGAUAUGAUAUUAUAUGUUCUUCUAAUAUAUAAUUAGUGAUUAAGAUAGAUGUGACAAAAAAUUGACAAGAAACCUCAAGGAGAGUAAUGUUGUUCAGACCAGAAGGUCAGUUGAAAUGUCACACAAAAAUGAAGGAAGGAAUUUUAAAAAUUAAAAAUUUUAGAUUUUUUUUUUUUUUUUUUUUGGUUGCAAAAGCAGAAGUUUUAGUUUGAUACUUUGAUUUUGCUAUACAAAGAUGAUAUUUAGGAAACACGGAGAACUUUGGUUAGAUAUUGUAAUUGUAAAUAUAGUGUAGUGGAUAUGUAUGUAAUAUUUUCGUUUUUUUUAAAAAAAAAAUUAUUAGAUGACUAACCGUUGACUCAUUUCAAAGAUAGGGCAUUCAAUUCAACAAUCGACACCAUCAAGUAAUCACAUCAAAAGCAUUUGAAGUUCUAGGAACUAAAUUUUACGUUUCUCCAUAUAUAACUGUUCUCAUGUGUAUUGAAUGAGCACAAAAUAAAAUGCUAAAAUUGAAUACACUUAGAAAAAAGAAAAGUCAGAUCAAGAGUGUUGAUGUUGAUUUAAGUAUUAAUUUCAAAAAAAUUUCUGACAAAAAUUUAACUUGUUUUGAUUUUUCCUAUACUAUGAACUUGGCAAAUGUCUCAUAACGACAACUAAGAACUGUUGAUUUUGAUAUUAUUAAAUCUUUAGCUAGAAACUUUGAAUACUCUAAAGCAUAUGUCUGUCAGUGUCAAUCGUCAGCUAAAAUAUCUAAUUUUCUAUUUUCUAUUAUUAGAUAAUCCACAUCAUAUACUAUUUGCUAAUUUACAAGCAAAAGAUUCCACAAAAUUUGACUAAUAAUCCAUAUUUGACUACACCCUCCAUUAUUGCAAUUUGGCACCUGUGUAUUUUUCAUCUUCAACGCGUGACUUUUCUCGAACCAUCUUUCCACUGAAACUUUCACAUCUUAGCAGUAACCUCACUCAACUUGAAAUUGACAAUUGACUUCAAGGUCAAUAACAACAAAAUCGUGGGUCCUUGUCUCCUAUCACUAGUGCAGGAGAAUCUCUUCCAAUUAAAUCUCCUCCAUCUGCCACCUAAUUAGUAUAUAUCUUGUUAAUUAACCAACAAAUGCCCCCUACAUAUAUUUUUUCUGUAUAAAUCCUAUCAAAGUUCUUAGAUCUGUUUUCUAGACCCACUUUUGCCUGUAGUUCAUCAUUUCUCAACAACAUUCUCACAUGUCCACUGCUAGAUUUUGACUUUUCAUGAAAUUGAUCAGGUAGCUAGGGUUGUAGGUUACUUCCCUAAAUUCCCAAUCUAUAGCUCGGAGUCUUUGACUCGAUUGUCUAGGGCUGUAGGUAACUUCCCUAAAUUUCCAAUCUAAAGCUUGGAGUCUUUGACUCAACUGUGUAGGAUCGUUGGCGCUGACCAUUAAUCCCAAAAGCUCGAACUGUUAGAAACUCGGCUCAAUCUAGCCUCUUGCCCUCCCGCCACAUAGCAGGAUACUAGUCCCUUUAAGCUAACAAUCCCCUCUCACCCUAGCACCCUUUUAAGCCAGCAAUUCCCCACACCCCUCCUGCAACUGCACAAAUUUGCAGCAUGCAAAAAUCGAAUCUGUAACCUAUGGCUCUGAUACUACUUGUUUGGCCUCUCGUCAAAGGGCAAAAUACUGAUACUACGAGUCUCGAUUGUGACUCGGUUCAACCAAUUUCACACCACUUCGAAUAUGAUUCGGUCCAACUCGCUCUUUCACCAUUUUGAACAUGCAUAUGACUCGGCCCAAUCUGAUCUCCCGCCUCAAGGCAGGAUGCUAGUCCCUUUAGACUGUAAAUUAGGUGCUAAAACAAAAUAGUUAGUCUUUAUAUUCGCCCUACUCCAAAUCAGAUUUGAUGAACAUCGGCCAAGUGUCAGAAAUAUAUUUUAUCAAAACUAAACUUGAAUUAGUUACAUAAGCAUCAUGGUUGGAUAUCAAUUAAGUAUAUAGUAUACAAGUACUUUUGGUUUGUAAGGAGAAUCUAUAUCAGAGUGGACCUCACGCACUGGGACACAAGAUGCAUAAAUCUCAUGAUAUGUUUUGUUGGCUGCGAGAAUCUGAGUCGAAAUGUUUGAUUCCUAUUCUCGUUGAUUAGUUUAUUCAAUCAAGUUGGGAAUUUAAAAUAAAUCACAACAAGAUGGCACAGGCUAUGAAGGUAAUGGUGGUGGUGUCGGUCAUGGCGACGAUUGAGUCGAUGAAAAUAAAACUUAACCGCGAUUUUGAUUACUGAAAUCAAAAUGACAAUCGCUAAUUUUUGUUUCCAUUUUUCGGCCAAAAUGUUUCGACUCAAAAGACACCAUUAACUUGCUUUAAUCAGAAAAAUGUAAUAUGAACUAGCUAGUUCAGAGCUCAAUUGCUCUUGCCAUGCAUGUGUCCUUCAAAUGUAAAUAAUGAACCUGCCACAAAGGAUUCUAAUAAGUUUACUAUUUUUCAUUAUAUUAAUAAAUACUUCUGUUUUUUUUUUAUGUCAGGAAUCAUAUAGAACAAAAGCCAGUGGAAUUAGUUACCUGGACCACUUAAAUUCCCGAAAAAGUAGGAAGAACCAAUAAUUCAAAGUGAUAAUGAAAACAAGUUGUAAUGGGUGGUAGUUAGGGUUUUAAAAGGCCUGAAUACAUACUAGCAGCUAAGCUAAAAUAUCGAUCAAGCUCGGUUCAUAUUCGAGCCAGCUCAUUUAUUUGGAGUUGAACUUGAGCAAUUUACAAAUAUAUUAUAUAAAAUGUAAAAAAGCUCCCCUCAAAAAUACAAAAAAACAAACAGAUCUUAGAAUACUAAGGAGCAUAAAAUUAUUAUGUUUGGUUUAGAUCACUAGAUUUCCUAUAAUAUAAAGGAAAUGCUUCUUGUACACCCAAAAAGGGGUGUAGAUCUUACACUCCCCCUUCUAGAGUUGAUAAAAAUUCGAACUUAAAUUCAUUAUAUGUGUUGUUGGCUCAAAAUUUUAAUUUGUAUUUGAUUCAAAUUUUUUAAUUCGAAUUAUAAAUCUAGUAAAAAAUGUUUAUUUAAAUUUGUAUUCUAAAUUAAAAUUUUACAAACAAAUUGCCAAAUUUGUGUUUAAUUUUUAAGAGGCAUUCCCCUUCUUUCACUCACAUGAUAUUGUGGGAGUCACCUAAAGACUUUCAAUGACAUAAUUAAGUCAUCUAUUUAAAUUAAAAUAAAAAAUAAACUUAAAUUUAAAUUUUGUGUAUUAAAUUUAAAUUAUAUAUUUAAUUAUUGAACUCAAAAUUUCUAUUGGUCAUCUAAAAUGCUGCACUUAUAAGCUACGAAUGUAUUAACAUUAACCACGUGAAAAAAUUUGAAUGGUUUACGACAUGCAAUUUAGCAACCUACGUAAGCUUAAGCUUGCCAAUACAUUAAUAAUCCUUAUCAAAUCCUUAGUGGGAAUCUAAGGCAUUUUCUUUACUUGCUUGUGGGGGAUUGUUUGUGAGAAUCCAAGGCAUUUUUUCUGUGAUAGAUCCUUUGUGAGGACACGUUUGUUGCGGGGUUCAAGGGCGGAAAUUGUUAUUUUUAUAAACUUUUACUCGUAUUAAUUUCAUUUGGUACAAGAUUAAUUAAUUCACCUCUCUUUAAUCUCCAAUAAUACAAAAUUGUUAAUCUAGAUGACACUAAAUUAAAAGGAGGUGGAAGAGAAAAUAUAUGAAAAAUGAUAAAAUUUUGAUUCAUCUUAUAUCAUUCUCUUCCCUUUCUCUGCUUAGUUUCUCUUUCUUAAUUUCUCUUUCCUUAUUUUCUCCCUUUUUUACUUUCUCUCUCCUCAAUUUCUCUCUCCUUAAUUUCUCUUUCUUCACUAUCUGUUCUCUAUAUUUCUCUUUUCACUCUCUCUUUGCAUAAUUUCUCUCUUCACUUUCUCUCUCCUAACUUUGUCUUUCUUUACUUUCUCUCUUCUUAUUUUCUCUAUCCUUAUUUUCUCUCUCUUCACUUUUUUCUCUCAUCUCUCUUUUGUUGCUUUAUUUUGCUUCACUUUCUCUCCUCUCAUCCUUUUAUCUCUUCUUGCUUUCUCUCUCAUUAUCUUCUCUCUUCUAAUUUCUCUUUCUUCACUGCUCUCUCAUCCUUCUCUCAUUGUCGUAUUUGUCUUCAAUUUUUCUCUCCUCAUUCAUCUCUCUUUACUUCUUCUCUCCUUAUUUUCUCUCUUCAAUCUCUCUCAUCCCUCACUUUCUCUUUUCUCACUUUCUCUCUCAUCAUCUUCUCUCACUUUCUCUCCUUGUUGUAUUCGUCUUCAGUUUCUCUUCUCCUUAUUUCCUCUUUCUUACUCUAACUCUCCAUUUUCUCUCACCUUAUUUUCUCCCUUUUUUCUCUAUUCGCUUUCUCUCUCAUCCCUCUAUCCUUUUCUUCUCUAUCCUUCCAUUGUCUCUUUUCUUCUCACUUUCUCUCUCUUGCUUCACUUUCUUUGUCUAAGGCUCCAUUUGGAAUUGUGAAGAAAUUGUAUUACAUGUGGUGAGAAAGUACGAUAAAAAAAUAUUCUAUUUAUUCUCGUAUAUAAUAUCGCAUUCCGAAUAUCGUAAGAGUUAGUUAUGGUAUACUUUAUGCGGUCCAACAAAAAAAUGCAGAAGUAUAUCUUUAUAUGAUUUCGUUCCAACUUUAUUUCAUUUAUUAGCAUUAGAUAUGCUUCAAUAUCGAAUGGGCCCCUAGGUGUCAUAAAUUAAAUUAGAAGUUAAAAAGUAUAUGAUAGUCAACUAUUGUGAGAGUUAAACAGGUCAUUUUGUAAUUUAAUUAAAGAAAAAUUGACAGAAAGAGCAUCUCCGAUAUGAUUUAUAUAUCUACAGAGAUAGUAUUAAUAUUAAAUUUUUGAAGUGGUGUCUGUAAUAGUUUAUAAAUUUUAAUAGAUACAUAUAAAUAUUAAAAUACCAUCCUGUUAUAACUUAAUCUUUUGAAAACAAACAAUUACUUUAUUACAUUAUUUAAUAACAAAUAAGACAAGAUUAAAUGAAUCGAUUUAAUACAAGAAUUGUUAAAAGCGGUUGUUCCAUAUUAUUUAACAUCAAGCAAAACCACACUCACUGAAACCAUGAGUUAAUCAGAAAAUUAUUAAAAAUAAUUAUUUUACAUGAGUACAGUUUGUGUGCUUUUGGAAGCACACAAAGGUUUCCAUACUUUCAAGUUGUUUUUGAUGAUUAACAUCUGAUUCGAAAAGAUCGACUUCAUUAGAUAUAAUCUACACUAUUGAAACUAUUUAGAAAUUGAAUUUUAUAAUUUUUCUACAUCAUUUGUCAAGUGAUCAAAAUAUCUCAAAAUUGACUAUUUUAAUGAUCGAUGUGGUAUAGUUUACCAUCAAGAACAAGAUAAAUAUUUUCGAUUUAAAAUUUAAGCCUUCUACCACUCUUUCUAAUGAGCAUUUUAUUUUCAGUCGCUCAUUUUGAGACAACUCGUUCACUAGGCAAAUAAAGUCAAAACAAAUUAUGGAAUUUAAUUUUUAAAUAGUUUCAAUAAUAUAGUUCAUAUUUGGAUCAGAUUUCGCAUAAGUCUUGAUUCAUUUUACAUUAUUCAACAAUAAAUGAGAUCAGAUUCAAUGAACCAAUAUAGUUAAUGUCAAAGAAAUUAUAAAUUUAUACUUAGUUUUUGAACAAAUGACAGCGCGCGGGUCGGAUUCGGGGCGGAUUUUCAAAAAUCCAAACCCGAACUCGACUCCAAACCUGAAACCCAUAUCCGAACCCAAACCCAAUAGAUUUUAAAAAUCCAUAUUCAAACCUGAACCCGACCAAAAAUUUGAAAUGCGAACCCGAAUCCGAACCAAAAAAUCCGACUUGAAAUAAUUAUUUCUCUUUCCAAUAUUUCAAAAUAUAUUAUAUUAAGUCUAAAUUUUUAAAAUACAAAUUAAAAUAUAACAUCAAAUUUUUAUAUACAUAUUAUAUAUAAUGUAAAACAAAUUCGGGUUUGGUCGGAUUCGUGUCAGGUUUAGAUUCGAAUCGGGUACAGUCAAAAUAUAUAUAUCCAUAUUUAUAGACUUUUUUUUUAAUAUUUAUAUAUAAAAAUAUAUUCAUUUCGUUCUAAUUCAAAUUUUGAUAAAAUUUUGAGUAUGAAUAACCAUUGAUAUCCCUAGGGACAGUCCCCAAUGAGGAGUCCCACACCCCCACUUGCUCUCCAAAUGAAGACACAGCCACCUAGAUGGGCGGCUCAAAACACCAUUUACAGUGCCAAUAAUAAUUGCCUCCCCCUUUUUUUUUGCUGUGGUCCGGCGCUAAAGCUUUGCACUAAACUACCCCAGUAACUCCCCCAACAUCUUCACGCUAAAAGCCCCAUGCCGUUUUUGGUACUAUGGGGGAGAAAGCGGUGUACGAAUAUCUGGUGUACGGGGGGUGCGAUGAGUGGGUGCGGUGAGCGUACCGCCUCGGUCCCUCCGCCGGCCCCGCGCGCGGUGGAGGAUGUCGCAAUCGGAGGUCCCACUUCGCACGCAAACUUGUGGCUGCACCCGGUGUGUGACCACACUCUAUACGCCACACUUUAGGCUAAAUUCACCUGCGGUCCUUUAAUUAUGAAACUUUUGACAUUUUGGUCCUCAAAAUUAACGUGUUAUAAUUUUUUACUCAAUUUUUUUAGAUUAGAUGAAUCAAGUCGUAGAGAUGAUGAGCUAUUAUUUGGCGUUAUUUUGGCAUCUUACUAAUUGCUACACUAUUAACUAUAACACUACCAUAUUUAGGAUUGUUAAUGGGCAUGAUGUUUAAAUUUUUAUCCAAAUUUAAGUCCGAAUGGGACUGGUUGCUCGACUAGACGAUUUUUAAUGGAUAUGGCUACAGUUACUGUAUAAUAACUGAAAACUCGAUGAAUUUGGAUUCGAGUAUGAAUUUUGUCUAUACCAGACCCAAACUCGAACCUGAAUGCAAACCCGAAUAAAUUUUACCUUAUAUAAUUUGUAUGAAUCUUUUAUGUCAUCAGGUUCGGAUUUCAGGUUUUUAGUCGGAUUUGGUUUUAGACAUGGAUUUUCAUCACCUGCUGAGUUAGGAUUCAAAUUCAAGUUUUGGUUUUGACUGUCAUAUUCGGAUUCAAAUUUUUCAAAAGUCUUCCCAACUUGGUACAUUAAACGAAGCGGGUAGCGUGCUACUUAUCUCUAAAAAAAAAAGAAAAAAGAAAAAAGAUAUUGCUCAUCACACCACUGUCAGGGUGCGUUUGGUUCGCAUUAUGAAAGAUUACUAGGAAUAAAAGAUAUCCGAGAAUCUUAUUCCUAUUCAUCCUAUUACUAAAAAUGUGAAAUUUCUGUGUUUGGUUCGCACGGUAAUAUUAAUUAGCCAUGUUAUUUAAUAUUACAAAAAAUACCAUUAAUUAAUUAAUUUAUUUAAUUUUAGAUAAUGUUACCAAAAGUUUUAACAUCUUUUUCUAAAAAGGGUGAGAAGUAUAAGUUAGAGAGAGAGAGAGCAUAAUUAAAAAAUAGGAAAAAAAAUAUAGUCAAAAUUAGAGGGAGUGAGAGAGUUGAAAUUUUAGAAAGAGAGAGAGAGAAAACUUAAUUUAGAGAGAGAAAAAAAGUUAAAUUUUAGAGAGAAAAAUAAGUUUAGAAAGAGAUAUAAGGUUAGAGUGUAAAGAAAAAUGAUAUCAAUUAGCUGGCUAGUAGGAAGAAAGAAAGAAAUUAGACAUAUUAUGAUUAUCCCAAUUCAUUAAUAUGAGGAUACCCACCAUCCCUCAAGGGAAUGAGAUUAGUACUUUGGAUGAACCUUAUUCCCAAGUGAAUCCAAUAUUACCAAAUAGAUUACUUAGUGCGUUUAGCCAAACACCGUCAUAUUUUUUUAUUUCUAUUGGAUUACUAAAAAUUUUUAAAAAAUAGCGCGAACCAAACGCACCCUCAUAUCAGCCACGCAUUACUAACUAGCUAAUUAAAUUAUAUUAUAGAACUUUAUUGUAAUAAUCUAUAAAAUUUGAUUCAUAUAUGAUUUAGUUUUGAUGCUUAAUAUCAAAUCAGUAGUGGAUUAAAAAAAGAAAUUAUUAUUUGAUUUGCUAUAAACUAUAAUGGAAAAUUUAUGACUUUUGUGGUACGUUAACUUUUUUAGAUGUCGUUAAAAAGGACAUCCGGUGCAUGCCGUAACAUCUUCCUGCUGGUGGGCCCACGCGCUUCCCGAGAAGAUGAUCAAACGGCCAGGACGCUCCGGACGCAGUCAAAUCGCGCGGUGCACCGUAACGCACCCCCGUACUAAAACGGCCACAUCUUAUUCUGCGGACGUCCGCGCUACCAUUUUUAUGCGGUUAUUGACCCAACCGCUCGAUAUGCGCCAAUCCAAGGAAAUUUGCUCUCGCAUGGAGUUUUGUAUGCGCACAAGUGGGUAGCCAAUCGGGAGCGGACAGCGUGUUCCUCAUCCUCUAUCCUCCCGCGUCCGCAUAUAUUACUUUACAUUGGGGGUGUUCGGGCCCACAUUAACGGCCUAAUUGCGUUGAUUACGCUAAACAAAGAUUCUCACCAUUAAUUAAUAACUUAUUAUAUAUAUUAUUAUUUUGUUAUUAAGGUUCGUAGAUUAAUCAGUCGGAGCGAAUACGUGCGAGCGUGCGGUCCACCACGCUGGCGCGCAGAGAUUCGUGCGCGCGCGGAUCUCGAAGCAUCCGUGCGUGCGCGGCCGCAUAGUCUCUGAUAUGAGUGCGCAGCGCGCGGCCGCUUAUAGAGACCUUUCUACCAUUUGACACGUGACACCGCGCGUAAUAAUGGGCUCAUAUAUAUGUACACGAGUGAGAUCUCAAUAUCAAUAUUGUAUGCAAUAAUAAUUAAAGGGCCUAUUUAAGGAUAGCUGGGUAGGAAAUGUAAAAUACGGACCGACCCAAAAUUGGUUCUUUACUAUUUACGAAGACCAAAUUCUAUUUGGGAAAAUUAUCAUAUAUUUAUUUAUAUAUUUUUAUAUUUAUUUAUGGGUAAAUUUGGAAAAAAAAAAUUUUGUCCGCGACCGACAUAGAAACGGAAAAACCCUAAUUCGGAGAGGCUCCGGUUUCUAUAAAAGGGAGCGGAGGGGCGAGCGGAAGAGGGGAGAAACAGCAAUAUCGGCGCUCUCAUUAUUUUGAUUUUUGGUUUUUGGUUUCGAUUUUGAUUUUGAGGUCGGAGCGGGCGGCGGCGGCGGCGGUGUGGGGGGAGGGGGUGGUGUGCGGCCGCUGACAGAAGAGAGUGAGCACAUAGCAGGUGCUGCCGGCACCGGAGGGCGGAGGGUGCCGGCGCUGUUGCGUGCUCACUUCUCUCUCUGUCAGCCCUCGUUUCUUGGAACUCGACCACCGACGCCCGACCCACCCACCCGCCUGCCUGCGUGCCUGCCUGCCUGCUGCACUUUUUGUUAUUCUUUCUUUUCUCUUCCCUUCGAAUUUAAACGGUGCUUUGGGUUUUUUUAUUUUUAUUUUUUUGUGGUGUUUCUCGAUUCUUUCUCUGUCUGGAAACUGUGUGAUUUGAUUGAUGAGUGUACGCCCGCCCUUAUCUUUUCUAGUUCGUCUGUCAGCUCGCGCAUCGAAGGAAGGGAUGUGUGUCGCCAUGACGACUGCUACUUUUUUUUUUUUUUGUGUUUUGUUAUAUUAAUUUUUCCCUUUCCCUUUUCCCUUUUUUUCCUUUUCUCUUUUUUGUUGUGGAUUUUGUGAUGUGCAGGAGGAGGAAGUAGAAAAUAAAAUCAUCGGAAAAUGGAGAGAGAGGAAGGGAGAGAGAGAGAAAUUUGGGGAAAGGCCCGAAGCGUGGAAGCGCGAGAAAUCACGAAGGGACGGAUCAGACGGGGUGCGUACAACUCGUACUCUUCACAAAAAAAAAACCCCCACUGUUUGACUCAGUCCUCGCUCUCCUCUCUUUCUCUCUCUCUCUCUAGCCUUUUCUUCUUCUUCACUUUCAUUUUUGUGGAAAGCUAUUCUUUUUCCUUUUAUUUUUUGGUUUUUUCUUUUGGGGUAUGAAUCCGCCAUUGUUGAUGUGCUGUUUACAACCAUCAUCCAUCCUGAUCUGUUCUCCUUUACGUAGGAUAAGUUUUUUUUUUUUUUUUGACGGAAAAGAGUAUGAAAUGGUAGAAAAAUAAUUGUCAUCAUAUGGGUAUAUAUACUUUUCAUGGAUCUAUAUAUGGAUGGAUCUUGAGUUUUUCUAGUAUAUGUAGAUUUAUAUGUAGAUUUAGUUGAAAAAGAGAGGGAUGAGGGUAGAGUUGAUAGAAGAGUUGUUAGAGAUAAGAGAGUUUUUAGAUCUGGUCGCAACCUGAGGUUAAUUAGUAAGCAUCAGCAGCAACUUAUAAGCUAAGAUCCUUAUUUUAUGGUCUCCUCUAUCUAAAUCUGGCAAUAAUAUUUUGUUGUUUGAUUAUUUAUAGUGACUGAUGAUUAGGUUCUGGGUAACUCCUGGCUUGUUACUGUUGUAUUGUUCUUUAGACAUAUGUUGUACUAAUAAGAACUAAUCCAUUCUGAUAGAACACUUCUCUGUUUGCAGAUGCUAAAGACUUUUUACUGUUUCAUUGCUGCUGCUUUACAUUAUCAUAGAGAGGAGCAUCAUCUGCUGUUGCUUUAUGGUAUGUCCUUUAUGUUAUUAUUCUUUAAUAUCAAAUAUAUGUUGAGUUAAUUCGAUCGUGAUACGAAGUUUACAUUUUCCUUCUCUUCCUCCUUGUUCCACUAUAAGGUACGUAGUAGUUUUCAAUAAUAACUGUCACUGGGUGGUGAUUAUUAGGUGUUCUCCUCCUGAGUUCUUAUGAAUCUGUAAGAUAUAAAUAGAUCGUCUAAGGUUGGUAUGUUGUAUGGUUAGAGACAUUUUUGCUUAAUAAUCCAGUAGGAAUCAAGGAGCUUGAAUAGUGAUGGAGAUAGCAAGAGUUCACCAUUAAAAUUUUCUAAUUCCACAUUUUUCUUACAAGAUUCCAAGACAUGUAUCUAGUGGCUGCUGUAUCUGCUAAACUGAUGUUUUCAAUCUCUAUGGCCAUUUGCAAUUAUUAUUACAUGUCCUAGCUUAUCUGGAUGAGAACAUUUUGAUCUAGUUGCUUGUGCGCUUGUUUGAUAUGAUUAUCUUUUCUGCUGCAAGAUUGUGCUUUUUUGAAAGGUUAUAUCUAUCUCUUACAUUGCAAAAUUAUGUGUGCAGCAAAGAGGCAUAUAGAAUUUGUCGGAUUUAAUCGUAGAAUUGUGUAUCAAGUUGGUUAUAUGCAUUAUCUCUCAUUUUCACUUGCACGAAGAACCACUAGCUUGUUUUGAGAUCAUGGGUAUACUAAUUUUUUUUUUUACUCAAUUCCUGUAGGAUCGUGUGUCAUUUAUACUACUUCUUGAGCAAAGUGUUUAUAUGCAUGACCAUUUUCACUUGCAGGAAGAACUCCUAGCUUUGUUAGUCUCUUAUUGUUCAGGUCAUGGGCAUAAUUUUUUUUUUUACCCAAUAUAAUAGUAAUCUGAAAGUCCAGUUGGACCUUGUUUCAUUGGUACUAUGUUGAGCAAGUUGGUUACAUGCAUCAUCUCCCAAUUUCGCAUGCAGGAAGUAAUCCUAGCUUGUUUGUCUCUUAAUGCUCAGAUCAUGGCCAUACUUUGUUUUGUUUUGUUUUUUACCCAGUAAUAGUAAUCUGAAAGUCUAGUAGGAUCUUGUUUCAUUGAUAUUACUUUAUUGAGCAACCAUAUAGCAUAGCAUCCAUAUAGCAUGUCCUAGCAUCUCCUCUAAGUGCUUACGGUAGAUUUCAUAUUCCGAAAUUCAAUCUUCAUAAAUUGAAAAUAAUUCAAGACCUUUUCAUUUUGUAGAAGCCAACUGUAGCGAAUGCGNAAGUGCUUACGGUAGAUUUCAUAUUCCGAAAUUCAAUCUUCAUAAAUUGAAAAUAAUUCAAGACCUUUUCAUUUUGUAGAAGCCAACUGUAGCGAGGGGGGGGGGUGGUUGGGGCUCUCACUUGAUAUGGCCUUUAAGAGAAAGAUACCGGAAUGCCAAGGCCUUUUCAAGAUUUCUAUUGGUCUUAAUUAUGAAUCUAAUUCAGCAGCAUGUGUGAUGGAUUUGAAAGAAGUUGAUUGUCAGCUUUUGCUUGGAAUUCAUUACUUCUUUGAAAAGCAAAAUAAGCAAUGCAAUAUUGGAAGGAAACCUAGUCGCUAUUUAUAGUGAGGAAUAUCUGUUUGCAGAAUGCAGAAACAAAUUUUUCAAGAGAAACACUAAGUCUACAACCCAAAAAGGUUGUGGGAUUGGCACCCCUAAUCCAAGGGUUGAAAUCAAAAUUCUUUGUAGAUUUUAGUAAUAAAAAAGGGGUGAUAAGACUAGUGAAAAAAUAUGGGCCCUUGGAUAAUAGAGUUGUACUAUUACAAUAGGUGAAGAAACUAGCAAAGUUUAAUGUAAAUAGGCAGAACUAAUACAGCGAAAGGUAGUUAGAGGCCUUUUUAUGCAAUAUUUUAAAAAGUAGAAAUAGUUUGUAGGCAAUAUAAAGCACCGUUUGUUUGUAGGCAGCAGAUAUGUAGGUGCAUAUGCAUCAUGUAUGAAUAAAAAUUAUCAAACAUAUGAUAAACAAUUAGAUGAUAAACAGAAAUAUUAGGAAGAAGGUCUUACCUACUGAAACAACAAAUAUAAGAGCAUUGCUAGGUCUACAACCCAUAUUGGGUUGUAAUCCUACAAUCACUCCAUCCAAAGCCCACUUUUCCUUUACAAAUCUUAUCACUCAGGACCCUUGGAUAAGGGAUUGUAGAGAUUACAACCCCUCUUUGGUUGUAGACUUAGCAUUUCUCUAGAUUUAAUGUAGGACACUGAAUAUUAUACAUGUGAACAUUUUACAUUACUUAUGAAAUAGAAAUACUACAAAUACAAGUAUGAAAUAAUAAUUAUUAAAAAAUAAUAAAUUUUUAAUAUCAAUUUUGAUUUUUGAGUGUUUGAGUUGCUAAUCAUAAACAUGUGCUCAACCUACUUGCGUUGCUUAAAAUGCAAGCUAGGAAGCAGCUAUCCAAUGUGCAUAUUAUGCAGUGCCUAUGCCGUUGGUGGUUGCUGCUAUGCAGAAGAGUUAAGCAACGUAUCCAUAUGUGCUGGUGCUUUUUAUAAGUAUCAUUUAGCAUAAUGUGAGCAUACACUUCUUUUUAUCUUCCUUCAUUUGAUAACAAGAGCAUAUGCUAGUUAGUUUUAGACUCUACUGCAUUACCUACUCUCAAAUUGCUGUAUUUAGUGGGUAUUAUGGUAUUUAACAAACAGAUUCUUUCAUUUCGAGAGGGAAAUGUAAAUCAUCAAACAUAUGAACUUUGGAUGACAUGGUUUGCAAGAUUAAUUUUGCUUGAUUCACAUGAUGCAACCUAGAAAAGUUUAAAAAUCGUAUAGCGUCUUGAAACGUGUUAAAUUUUGUCCUUAAUCUCUCUUGUUCUUACCACAUGGUAAGAUCCUGGGUUGAUCAGCCUACAGAUUUUCAUUCACCGAGGCAGCCUGUUGCUAGUUAAGUUGCCAACUGUUAAGAACCUGGCAUCCUUAAUUGUUGGCAUAUAGAGUUAACAUUGUAGUUAGCUUCUUUGUCAAGUUGGAUGGUCCAUUUUUUUGUAUGAAAAACAUUAUUUUUUUUUUCUUGCUAACUGAUAUUGAUGCAAUUUGGAAAGGAGAAUUUAUGUUGGAAGUGUAACAUGAUGAUUGUAUAAAGGAUGUAGAAAUAAAAUUACACGGUCUGGAUUUUUGUAGAGUUGUACUUGGGAUAAGAGUUCCUAGCUAGGUAUUGUGAAAAUAAGCUUUUAUUGUAACCUAGCUAACAGUUGCAGCAUAUAUUAUAAUUUAGUUUUUUGAGUAUUAUUUUUAGACUGUUGACUUGAUGAAGCAAUUUAACUUGAGCGAUAAAACUAUCAAAAUAUUGUAGAUUCUUCCGUAAAGUUGAAAAUCUAAAAAAUGCCCAAUAAUUCUAUUUUUUCCAUAAUAGAUGCUUAUGUUGUUAGCUAUUCUUAGCAAGCAUAUCAACAAUCCUUGGGUCCGGUGCUUGUCAAUUAAGAGUUGAAUAUCACAAUAGCUCAAACUGUUUUCUUCUUCAUAAUCUCUGUCAUCCCUUUUUACUCCCAAUCCUUUCCAUUAAACAUAUUCAGUGGCAGUUCUGUGAGCUAUUAAUUCUUGUAACAAGCCUAGCAGGCUUUACCUCCUCCCGAAAGCUGCCACAGGUACUGAUUGUAAGCUGCCAUCAUCUAGGCUUGUUCCUCCCUCCGUGGCGGAGGAAUGAACUGCCUGGGAGAAACAGUUGCUACCCUUGAUUGUGUUAGCAUCUUCUCCUAUCAAGGGUGAAUUAAAAUUUCUUUGCUCAUGCAUCUUCCCUGCAAUCUCUAGACAAUGACCUAUCCACCCACGUUAUAUAUCUUGUGACCCAACAUACUCUAGUCUGCUUUGUUCAAAAUAUGUGGAGGCACUUAUUAAGUAUUGGAUUUUCGGAAGUUAAGGGCAUUCAAAAAGCAUAAGAGUAGACCAUUGGGAAUUUCAAGUACAUUUGUAGCAGCAUCUUCCUCGGGGUCAAUAGGAUUUAAAUUUUGUUUUUCUACAUAUGGUUGGACUAUAUCUAUAAAAGGUAUUGAUGAUGAUCCGUUUUGCUACAUAUGGAUAUAAUAAUAACUGUAGGUUAUUUAUGAUAUUUAAUUUCAGGACUUGUCAUAAUGGUUUGCUUCUGAGCACCAAUCAUUUCUUACAAGUAGAGAAAUUUAUCCUUUCCCUAUGUUUUGUUGAGGUCUUCGCAUAUUUGAUUUGAUCUGCUUUGUUGUUUCCUAUUCCCUCUCUUAUGAAGUGAUGCUUGAUUGUAAUAUACUUUGUUUGGCUGUCACUGAUAGUGUUUUUGGUCAUUGAAUUGUCACGAAAGGUUAUAUCAGCUUCCUCGUGUUUUCUCUAUUAUCUUUCAAAAUUCUUCAAAAUCAUUAGGCUUGAGAAGUUACAUUGCUGGUACAAACAUAUUUAGUGUUAGGCCAACGUAAUGGUACCCUUUUUUAUUCUUGUUUAAUGUGUAAAAUGUAAACCAGAUCCAGGAGAAUUUCCAUAUUUGAAGGUGCUUCUCAUACUAUUUAUGUUUUUGGCCCAACCACCAUCACAAUUACAAAGCAACAUAAUUUUUGUAAGUUUUUCCAUGCAUGCUUCUGUUGUUACCAGUCUAUUUAAUGUAUCUUUAACCUUUUUUUCUCAAUAAGAAAAUGAAUUUAUGCUGCUUUUUGCAUGAAGUAGGAAGAUAAGCAAGUUGUGGCAUAAUAUUCGAUUUGCGAACAGGAUGCAUAGCUUCCUAUUCUAAGUUGUCUUGUAAGUUUUUCAAUGACAACCAAAGUUGCCGGCAUUGUCUUGUAAGUUUUUCAAUCACAACCAAAGUUGACGACGUCAUCUUGUAAGUUUUUCAAUCACAACCAAAGUUGCUGACAUCGUCUUGUAGUUAUUCACUCAGAGCCUUUUAAGAUGCUCUUCACAUAGUUGUUAUGCCGAAUGAAAGAGAUUUUUAUUUGGGAAAAGUAUAUAAAAGAGCCUUUUUGGUGAGCAUAAUAAAUAUUUGGUCUCCAAAAGUCGUAAGCAUCAAAAAUGCCCUUCUAAUUAUGAUCCUUUUAAGUAUUAGUAUAUCAAGUUCUUCAUUGAAAUACCCAUUGUGCUGUUUUUUUUAUUCGUCGGUCCUCCCAACCAUAGGUGCACCCUAUCUACCGUCUUCAAACGUCUCCUCUCUCCCUUUGGUAGUGUUUGUUUGGUAGUAGAAUAAGGAGAGAAUAAUUAAACAUCUCUUUGACAAUUGAAAAUAGGAAGAAGAUCCAGAGCAAGAACAUAUAUAAUGAAAAACAUACAUUUGUAAGCUAAAAUAGUGAAUACAUAAAUUUGUAAGCUAGGAUGAUAAAAACGUAAAUCUCUAAGUAAAUAUUAAACUAAUAUUUAAACCAUGGUUAAAGAUAUGUUUGCUGAUGGAUUAUAAUGGCUAGGGCAUUUGUGCUGGAGCAUCCAAGAUAUUUUAAACUCCUUAGGGGAAUUAAUGAUAGCUUCAUACUUUUGACCAGCAUGAGUGAAAUUGACCAUUUCCAUUUUAAUGUAAUCGACUAAGAAAUAGUGAGGCCUAAAUUACUCGUUUGUAUUUUGCAUUGUUUCAUUUAAAUUCUAGAAUCAUUUCUUGUUCUUUUCUUGAAAAGCAUCAAAUCAUUAUUAUGAAAGCAAUAAGCUUAAAAAUUGUUUAAAUUAUUUGAAGUUAUUUUGGGAGAUUGUGCAUUUAUUGUUUACCCCACCACCAGCACCACUCCAAAAGGAGCCUCUUUUGCCCACCAUCGGGCACCGGGCUGCAGUGGAUCUUCUUCUGUAUGAACGAGAUCACCCAAAGCUACAUGAGAAAUUCAUCGGCCAUUUUGAUGUGGCAUUACAAAAAGCAUAUAAGUUUGAGAGUGUAGAAUUUAAUUACUUUGUUUCUCGUUGUCCCAAUGAAGACUUUACUAGUGUUAUUUGGUAGCGACAAAAGUAGAGAGUAGUUUGAAGUGCAAAUUGAUCUACCAGUAUUGCGAACUAAUUUUAGAUUAGGAUAUAAAGGAGUGGAUACUGGAGUACAAUCAAAAUAACCAAAUUUUCUAAGAAUCUUUUCGAUAUAAUGAGACUGGAUUAAAAAUAAACCAUUAUUUUCACGAAUAAUUUUAAUUCCCAAAAUAAUAUCAGCCUCCCCCAUAUCUUUCAUAUCAAAAUUGCAAGAUAAAAAAUUCUUAGUGUUUUCUACUUGUUGAAUAUCGGUAAAUUAACAUGUCAUCAACAUACAGACAUAUAAUAACACCUUUACCAUUUGAAAAUUUACUAUAGACACAUUUAUCAGAUUGAUUAAUUUUAUAACCAUUGGAAAGAACAAUCUAAUCAAACUUUUGAUGCCAUUGUUUAGGUGCUUGUUUAAGCCCAUACAACGACUUAACAAGUUUACACAUUUUAUACUCUUGUCCAGGAACAACAAAGCCCUCGGGUUGUUCCAUAUAAACUUCUUUAUCUAAUUCUCUAUUUAAGAAUGCAGUUUUGACAUCCAUUUGAUGAAUAAUCAAACUAUACAUAGAAGCAAGAGCAAUCAAAGUUCUAAUAGUCGCUAAUCUGGCAACAGGUGCAUAAGUAUCAAAAUAAUCAAUGCCUUCUUUUUGUGUAAACCCUUUGGCAACAAGUCUUGCCUUGAAUUUAUCUAUGGUGCCAUUUACUUUGAUAUUCUUUUUGAAAAUCCAUUUACACCUAAUAGGUUUACAUCCAGGAGGAAGAUCAACUAAUUUCCAUAUUUGGUUGACCAUAAUUGAGUCCAUUUCAUUAUUUAUCGCUUCUUUCCAAAAAGCGACAUCAGCAGAUUCCAUUGCCUCCUCAAAUAUUGUGGGGGUCUGAGUCAAUGUUUAAACAAAAUUGAAAACUUUCUGUAAUCAUUUCUCUACUACCCUCAACAAGAAAAGUAUAAAAAUUUGGUCCAAAUAUUUUAGCAAUUCUAACUCUUUUACUUCUUCUAAGUUCUGGGGUUUCAAUUGCAACAUCAUUUUUCUCAUUGGAGUGUUCUUUACUCAAAAUAAGUUCUUUGGGUCUAGGAAUUGAAACAAAUCUGUUUUCAUCAAAUAUAACAUCUCUAGAUUCAAAAACUGUGUUGAUCUCAAUGAAGUCAUUAGAUUCAAUCACGUAAAAUCUGUAUGCUUUACUAUGUUGUGCAUACCCAAUAAAUAUGCACUCAAUUCCUCUUUCACCCAGUUUCUUUCUUUUCGGUUCUGGAACCCUCACAAUAGCUCUACAACCCCAAACUUUUAAAUAAUUUAAAUUGGCGUUUCUUCCCUUAAAUAAUUCAUAAGGAGUUUUAUCAUUCUUCUUUGUUGGGAUUCUAUUUAGUAGAUGGCAGGCUGUUAAUAAAGCUUCACCCAAAAAUUCAUAACUUAACCCAAAGUUAGAAAGCAUAGCAUUGACCAUUUCCAUCAAUGUUCUAUUUUUUCUUUCUACAACUCCGUUUUGUUGUAGAGUAUAAGGUGCAGAGGUUUCAUGUAUAAUACCAAUGGACCCAAAAAAUAAAGGAUCAUAAUAUUUUCCUUUGUCUGAUCUUAGGUAUUUGACCAUUUUCUCACAUUUCACCUCAACUUCAGAUUUAUAAAUUCUAAAUUUAUCUAGCGCUUCGUUUUUAGAAUGCAAAAGAUAAACAUAACUAUUUCUAGAAAAAUUAUCAAUAAAUGUAACAAAAUAUUUCUUUCCACCAAUAGUAGGAGAAGCAUGCAAGUCACAAAUAUCACUAUGUACCAAUUCAAGUAGAGUAAAACAUCUAUCAAUUUUAGAAAAAGACUUUCUAGUAAUUUUAGUGAGCAUGUAAGUAUUAAUUUUUCUAAUUUAUUAUCAAAAUUAGGAAUUAAAUCUAACGUAGUCAUAUCAUGUAAUCUUCUAUAAUUAACAUGUCCUAAACGAUUAUGCCAUAAAGAAGACGAGUCAGUAAUAUAGGAUGAAAUAUUCAUUUUAUUAAUAAGAUUGAGUUUGAACAUGCCCUUGAACAAAUAUCCUUUUCCUACAAAGAUUCCACUCUUCGACAAAAUAAAUUUGUCGGCCUCAAAUACAAGUUUGAACCCAAAUUUGUUAAGAAGACUUCUUGAAACAAGAUUCUUUCUAACUUCGGGUAUAUGAUACAAAUCGGUGAGAGUGAGAGUUUUUCCUGAUGUGAACUCGAGUUCCACGUUGCCCUUUCCUUUGAUUUGUGCUAUUGAGGAAUUGCCCAUAUAGAGAAUGUUUCCAUCCUCCAAUGCAUCAUAAGUUCUAAAUAAACUUCUCUCCUUGCACACAUGCCUUGUGGAACCUGAAUCAAUCCACCAAGCUCCGUCAUCUUCGAGUAUGUUAGCCUCAGAUAUCAUAGCCACAAAAUUUCCUUUGGAAUCCGGUGCACUUUCCCUGUUGAGGAACUGACAUUCUUUCUUGUAGUGACCCGGUUUACCACAAUGAAAGCAUGCAGCUUUCUUUUUCUUAUUUGUCAUGUUGUGGUUGAUCGGAUGCUUGGCUCUCUUUCGAUUUUCUUUUGUGGGUUGACGAGUUUUAUUAUACUCAUCUUCCGUCACAUACACUUUGGCACUCUGAGCAUCUUGCUCCUUUUUGCUAUAUUUCAAACGAUAUUUUUCUUCCAUGCGAAGAUGAUUAGCCAAAUCUUUAAGAGUAAUAUCUUUCUUUUUAUGCUUAAGAUUUUUCUUAAAGUCUUUCCAUGAUAGAGAAAGUUUAUUGAUAAUAGAGGCCACAAUUAUAAAUUCAUCCAUAUUCAUAUUAUGUUGAGUAAAUUGAUUGAGAAUAUGUUGAAUUUCAUGUAACUGAUCUAGAACAGAUCUACUAUCAACCAUUUUAUAGUUAUUAAAUUUGCAAACAAGAAACUUCUUACUUGUGCAUCCUUAGAUUUGUAUUUUACUUCAAGACCUUCCACAGUUCUUUAGCCGUUAUUACAUUCUGUUAGACGUCGAAAAGCGCAUCCGACAUAGCAUUUAGAAUGUUGCCUCGGCAUAUAUUGUCAUCUUCAACCUAUUUUUGUCUUCUACGAGUUUGUACAAUAGGUUCAUCAUCGUUUUCUUCUGGUCUUGGAGUAGUGAGGACAUAAGCAACUUCGAGAGUCGACAGAAGGAAAUAUAAUUUCUUUUGCCAGCGCCUGAAGUCCAUGCCAUCAAAUCUUUCUAGUUUGAUAAAGUUUGUUGCCAUCUCUUGUAGAGUAGCAGUCGACAUUAUCGGAUUUAAGCCUUAAGAUUGUUGGAACAGAUAGUGAAAAAGGUAUGAAAUAGAAAGAUGAAAAAGGCUUCAAGGCAUGUAGCAAUGCCACUUCUUAAGGCUUAAUUCGUCCCCACCGUUCAAUCAAUUUGGUGUGCACCGGGUCAACGAACACCCUCCCAAGAUACAAUGAAGCAUAAACCUCAACUACGUUUGCACACACGAAGUCAAGCCUUUGAGCACUCACUCGAUUAAGUUGUCAAAAAAAAAGAAAUAAGAAUGGAAUUAUUAUGAAUGGAGAGUUAAACUCUUCAACUAUUUCGUCUUAUGUUUCUGCAACCAACGCUGUGGACUUAUAUAGACCACGAACGGGUGCUUCAUGAAGUGACUAUUCAUGAACGGGUGUUUCAUGAAGUGGCCAUUCAAUUGUGACUUUUUAUUUGAUCAUAACUACCAAUUAGUUUUAUGAGUCAAAUUUAAUGAAUGUAAGAAUUAAUUUCAACGGACAUAUACUCGAAGAGACACACUAUAAAGAUGUGUCUUUUCAUGUCAUAUCCUUACACUAAAAGUCACAUCCUUUCACUCUAAGAGUCACACCCUUUGAUUAGAGUUGCAUCCACUCACUAAGGGUUGCAUCCACUCACUAAAGGUUGCAUCGAUUCACUAAGGAUCGCAUUCAUUCACUAAAAAUCAAUAAACAAAAUAUAUUAUUUUAAAAUUUUUCUUACACUUUACAACCUUCAUUAGCUAAUAGAAAAGCAUCCAAGAUGACCUCUUCUUCAGAAAUGUCGAUUAGGAUGUAGAAAUAAUUCCGUGCAAAGCUUUUUUAAGUCUUUUUUUUUAGGACCUUCGAAACUAUUUUGUGUAUUCCUCUUUAGUUUGCUUAUAAGCCCAAAAUUGUUAGCUUGCACAACUCCCUCAGUUUUGUGCAAUAGGUAAAUGUAAGAGUAGUCAAUAGGACAUGUGAGGGAUCUCCCCUCAUGAAUCUCUAAAGAUAAUAUAAUUAGGGAGGAAGAUAAUUAGUAAAAUUUAGACUACAAACACCACAAACCCUUUGUAAAUACAUUUUUUUUACUUUUUUUCCCUUGACUUUUGAAAACUUUUACAUUUUGCUCUCUUAAAAUUUUAGAAAUAUUUUGACAAGUUUACGGUGUUAAUGGAGAGGCUAAAAUGAUCAAAUUACCCUUGCUUGUUCUAGAAGAAAAAAUAAUUUUUAAAUAUAUACUACAUUUUAAAGAGCAUUUUUUGUAUAAAUGUAUGAAAUAAGAUGAAACAGUGAUGGAAUCCUGACGAAGAUGGGUCUACAAAAUGCAUCAACUUGAAAUUUUAAGUAAGUAAAAUAUAGGUUUUUGAAAGUUAAGAGAAAAACCAAAAAAAAAUGCUUAUGUAAGGAUUUUCAAUAUUUUAGCCUAAAAUUUACUGUACAGAAAUUUUAGUGAACCUUUUACUACUAUUAAUUAUUCAAACAUGCUAUGAAGGUUAAUAGUAUUGAGACAUUAGUGAAGGAUCAAAUGGCAACUAAGAGGGAAGGGAGUGAAUUAGUAGGAAAACAAAACCCAAGUAGAUUUUAUUGAAGAUAGUAAUUGUACAGCAAAAUAAAAGAAAAAAAAAGAGAAACAAACUUAGAUGACACAAAUAAAUUAUCCUAGUUCGGCCAUUUUGCCUACUCUAGUCCGAUCCUUCUACUCUUCAAGGUACUCAUUUAAUCACUAUCAUUUUGUCUUUGAAACAGGGCAAGACCGAAACCGCUUACAAUUACACUUUACAAGACUUCUAUUACAAUCUUUCAAUAAAGCUCAUAAUUAUAAAAUAAAGAACAAAAGAACAAUUAAUUAUAACUUACAAAUUUUUUUCCAAUUUGAAGGUUUGGCUUAAACAUUAUCCAAACCCCCUCUUUAAAUAUGUUACUCAUCAUUUCAAAUUUAUAAAAGAAGUAUGAUAUAAGGUUAAUUGAUUUUCAUUUGAAUUUCAACCAUAUUUGUAAAUGCAUUUUAAUUAAUACCAUAUUCCAAAUUUUUUUAAAGUCACACCUCAUUUGCAAAGCAUAUUUGAAAUUAUACUACAUUUGAAAAGCCAUUUGAAAUGAUAGCACAUUUGUAAAACUCUUUUGAAUUAUUACCACAAAUGCUAAGCUCUUUUAAAUUCAUUUGUAAAAUGCUUUUGAAUUAAUACUACAUUUAUAGAACUCUUUUGAGUUAAUACCACAUUUGUAAAACACUUCGAUCUUUUUGAAAUCAUCCCAUAAUGAAAUCACUUUUGAAUUUAAACUAUAUAUCAGACCUCUUUUAAUUCCAUACUACAUUAAAAAUAAUGGUUAAUUUUUUAUUAAGUUUAAAUCAAACCUAUGUGGUAGCUAGAUUUGUUAACUUCGUUAAGUUUACGGGCUCAAAUUCGAUAAAAGUACAAAGAAGCCCGCCAUAAUAUUGUUGUGGUACUUGCAUCCAAUUUGAUACAAUUUGAUUUUGUCCGGGCUAUUUUGAAAUUUUUGAUUGAACGACUAUCUUUGAUCAAUUUUGGUUCGGCUUGUGUCAUUUCAAAUCCAACUAAAACCUGAAAUUACUAUGCAAAAAAGUAAAUCCAAAAUUUAUUUGUAAUCAUCAAAAUUAUCAUUGCAUAAAAUCCAACACGUGGUGCUAUAGAGUCAUUUUCGAUGAUAUAGUAUCCAAAUUGAUAAUUGACACUGUUGAAGAUUGACGUCCUAGGACUACUCCCAUCCUAUCAUACUUAACUCUUUUAAUCUUUUGGACCUAGUCACCACCCAAAAUGAUUAAGAUGGAUUGAGAGUUUUAACCCUAUUAUAUCUUAUAUAUAGAACUACCUGGGGUCUCACAUUCUCCUUGCCUUAAGCCCUGACGUCCUCGUCAGGCUGAGACUCACAAGUACGAGGCGAUGUAAGACUCGUCUCGCUAACCUAAACCGACCUUAUGGUGAGUUGCGCUCCACCCAUAACAGUCAACAGCAUGAGAGCCUCGCUCUCCCCGUUGUACAAUCUUUGCUCAACCGAGACUAAUCUCAUACUUCCAGCUGGUAAUUAGCUCUGAUUCCAACUGUGACGCCCCACUUUCCAAAGCGUCACCCAUCCUAGGAUUACUCUAGUCCUAGCACGCUUAACUCUCUUAACCUCUUAGACCUAACUACCGCCCAAAAUGCUAUAGCGGGGUUAAGAGGUUUUAGCCCUAUUAUAUCUUACAUAUAGGACUACUUAGGGUUUCACAUUCUCUCAUUCUUUAAGCCUUGAUGUCCUCGUCAAGCUCAGACUCACAAGUAUCAGUCAAUGUAAGAUUCUGUCUCUGAAGCCUAAACCAACUAUGUGGUGAGCUGCGCUUCACCCAGAAUAGUCAUCAGCAUAAGAGCCUCGCUCUCGCCGCUGUAUAACCUGGCUCAGCCGAGACUUAUCUCACAUUUUCGGCUGGUAAUUGGCUCUAAUACCAACUAUGACGCCCCACUUCCUAAGGGGUCACCCCUAAUCCUAGCACGCUUAACUCUCUUAACCUCUUGGGCUGCACCUACUGCCCAAAAUGCUAUAUCCGGGCUAAAAGGAGAAUGAAACUGUUUUAACGGGAGAAGAAACUAUAACGCCCCAAAAUUUGACUAUAAAUGUUUAAAAAGAUUUCAAAAUAAUUUUAGAGGAUGAUGGCCAGUUUUAUAUGAUUUUGAACUCAAAUUGAGUCAAAAUGAAUUGUUUGAGGACGAAAAUUUCAAAACAGUUGAGUCUAAUCUGCCAUUGCACAAAUAGCCAUUUUGGAAAAACUUUUAACUAGGUUAUUGACAUCAGAUUUGGGCAAAAUUGGUCUCAUUGGAAAGAUCGUUGAGUUAUCUUUCUAACGCAACGUGAAUCUCCUUAAACGGAUAUCGGACGAAAGAGUUAUUUCAAUUUUUCUGACAGUCGUCGAUGCAGUCCUGAGCUUUGAGCUAGUUUGGGACUUUACCAUUUGUUAUGGGCUGUUUGGUAAAUUUGCUAAUUAAAAUUAUAACAUAUCAACUUAGGUGGUUAACUAUUAGUCCAACCAUAAUUUUUUCCAAGAAAAUGUUGAGUAAAAUGACUGAAACUCUUUUAAAUGGGCUGGUUUGAAUGGGAGAAGAGAAAAACUGUUUUAUUCCUAUUCUCAUCUUCUUUUUCCUAUUUUCCCUUCCUCUCAAUACCCUAGUUCUUCUCUCUUUUAUUCAGCAAUGAGAAGAAGGAUUUCUCCUUCAAAUUGAAGGAAUUUAGAAGGAGACUUUUGGAGAAGGAAACCCAUUUUCAAGUUAAAACUCUAGCUAGAGAACAAAGUAAGUAGAUUUUCGAUUUUGUACUUUGUAAAUAUCAAAGAGUGAAUAUUUUACGUUGCAUGCAUGUUUUUCUAUUCUCUUUGAAGGUCCCAAUCUAUCUUUUAUGAAUUGACUAUAGUUUUUGAAGAUUUUAUGACACUAUAUUCAAAUAUUGAAGCCCUAAAUUAGGGGUUUAUGCCCUAUUACGAGAUUUCCUUGUAAUUUUAGGGUUGGGACCCUAAGAGCCCAAGAUGAGAUCUUGAUCGUUAACUUUUAGUUCUUUCAACUUGAAUUUGGAGGCCAAUAUAUAGUUAUAUGAAUUGCCUUUGUUUUUAAGAGUUUUUGAUGAGUUACUUGUGUUUUAUGAGGCUUCAAAAUUGGGAUUUUGAUCAACUAGGAGAUUAAACUUUUAUAGUUGAUUUUAAGAGUUUAAAAUACUUAAAUUGAGAUGUCAAUCUUGUUCAAAUGUAUUGGAAAUGAAUGUAUGAUUGAGCUAAGUUGUUUGAUCAAAUUUGAACUUAGUUUGUUAAUAUUUCGUCCAAUUUAUGCUAUUUUCAAGUUGGACUUUUCCGAUUAGUUUUCGGAGGGUAAAAACAUCUUGUUAAGGUGUCGUUUGUUAAAAUUAAGUAUUCCAAACCCUUCUAUAGGAUUUAAAUGAGUUAUUUUAAGGUUGUUAUCUAUUUUGAGAGAGUUAAGCAUGCUAGGACUAGAGUAGUCCUAGAAUAAGUGAUUUCCUGGAAAAUGGGGCGUCAUAGUUGGUAUCAGAGUUAAUUACCAGCUGGAAGUGUGAGAUUAGUCUUGGUUGAGCCAGGAUUAUAUAGCGGGGGGAGUGAGGCUUUCAUGCUGUUGACUGUUGUGUGUUGAGCCCAGCUCACCACAAAGUCGGUUUAGGCUAGCAAGACUAGUCUCACAUCGCCUGAUAUUUGUGAGUUUAAGCCUGACGAGAACGUCAGGACUUAAAGAGGGAAAGAAUGUGAGACCUCAAGUGGUCCUAUAUGUAAGAUAUAAUAGGGCUAAAAUCUUUUAACCCGUCUAUAGCAUUUUGGGCGGUGGCUAAGUCCAAGAGGUUAAGAGAGUUAAGCGUGUGAGGACUAGAGUAGUCCUAGAAUGGGUGACCUCCAGGGAAUUGCGGCGUCACAAAAAUGAUCUCAUAAAUUGAACGCCUUAGGUAUCAAUUUCAUGACUUCUCAAUGUCAUCUAUAUAGUGACCAAGCAAUCAUAAAGUGACAAUUUUAAUGGCCCACAUUAGACCUUUUCUAAUUUAACGGUAUUGAAGAAUGCAAAUCGGUAUUCUUUUAACCGAAUUGAUCAAAAUCUACAGCCCUGAUCUUGAAUUUAAUAAUUCUAUCAUCUAUUCUAAAUAAUUGUUUGAUUAUGACUGUUUAUUUUGUGGUUGCUUGAAGUAGAAAAUGAUUCUAAAAAAUUGUGAUCGAACUUGAUUCUUACAAAGUUCAAAUGUCUUAGAUAAUGUUUUCGAUCGUCAAUUCAGAUGCCUCAUCUUUGAAAACGAGUGUAUAGAAAAAAAACGAAGGCCUUGGUGCAAUUAAUAGAACCCUAAUUCGAUUCAUUCAAGCCUUUCUAGCACGCCUCUUCUGUUAAUUGGUUUUUACCGUGUUCCUUGAAUCUUUGGUGGCUUUCAGAGUCUGAUCUGCAUAGACAUAUAUGAAAAACAACAAAUUUUCUCUAGUUAAGGAUGUCAAUUAGAUUUCUCUCAGCUGAAUUAUGGCUACUACCACAAUUUUGAUCUCACCAGUACUUUUUUUUUUUGGGCAGCAGGGCCCCAUGCAGGUAAACAAAGCUUUAUGAAGGGACUUCACUUCCUGAUUUUGGAUGAACUGUUUCCACAAGUCUUAUGAGAUGAUUAUUUGUACUUCAGUGUAUGCUUCCGAUUAUGCUUCCGAUUUUUCCUGUUAUGUUUCCUAAUCCAUUAGCGUGCGUAGCACUGUUUAAAUCAACAAGGAAACUGUGGAUAGAGAUGAAUUAUCCAAUGUUACAUAUAAUACACUCGAAGAUGGUAAAAGGGAACUAGAAUCUGAAGGAAGCUAGCUAUAACAUAAUUGAUAUUAUCGAAACUACUUGUCGAUUAAUCAACAAAAAAUAUGUUUUGAUUGUACCAUUUAAUAUGUUAGUACUCGAUCAGAAUGUCUUUCUGGACCAAAGGGUCCAAUAUAUGUUAGAUCAGAAGUUGAACUGAUAUAAGUUGGUUCUAAUGUAUCAAUGGAAAUACAUGAUGAACAUUCAUUAAUUGAAGAAUUUUGUGAGAAAAUAUGCCUAUUUAAGCCAUGUAGCAUUUAAGAUUUACUUAUCGAUGAGUCUAAACCCAUUUGCAAGGUAUGUUGUCAUGUUGUUGUAUAAUUAGAUUCUAUUAUUUGUAGGAUGAUUUUUAGACCUUUAUACAUCCAUUGAGGCAUUACAUCAGCUAUUUCAUCACUAAACCGAUAUGAUCGAGAGGUGUUAUGUAUUAAUUCGUUACUUGGCAAUUUUAAAAUAAGGUUAUUUAUUUUGCUAAGUUUGGAAGUGUAUUUAUAAUCAUGCAAUGUUUCGAACACAAUUGAUGGGAAGAAGGAUAGUUAAUAUCGCUGUAAAAGAACAAACUUCCAUCAAAAGUGAAUGAAGCGCGCCAGUUCAAAGUGAAUGAUUUUACUUAGUAAGACCAGCAGAAGAGGAGAAUCACGAGAGGUAUGCAUGAGAGUUAUCAAAAUCUUUGAUGCAUUCAGUAAAUAAAGUGUGUGUGUCAAACAAAGAUUUACACAGAGAAAUCCAUCAUUUUGCACGAAAAAUAGUGCGAAUCACCAAAAUUUCACUUGUUUAACAUCAAAAUAUUUUGCUGUUAGUGCCAAAAACUUCAAAACCAUGCCCAUAGUUGUUGUUUUGGUGUUGUUUUUCCUAUUAGAAUCAAUCUGCAUAAACAACGAUUUCAAGUUCUGUUUUGAUCUGUUGCAUCUUUUAAGAACACUUUCUCUAAAUAUUUUGUGUUUUCUAAGUUCAAGCCCUUCAUUCUUUGUUUCAUUAAUUGAUGUGUUAUUAUCUACUUAUCUCUUGGUAUUGCCAUUCUGGUUUCUGAAAAGCUUUAGUUUCUGUAAUUUUUGUGACCAUGCUAAUUCACUCCCAUGAUUUCCAUCAGGAGGGUUGAAGUGUAUAAGUAUUGUCAUCCAUUGAUACUCGACUGAUCUCAGUGUCGAAGCUCAGGACCUUAUGCUCUGAUAUUCAUUGCUCUGAUAUUCAUUGAUAUGACCAUGUUCGCAUGCAGCGUGUGUUGAUAAAUUUUUUGUAACAAAUUAGAUUAGCAAUAUAUCGUGGGAAAAAUUUUUGCUCCGACUGUGUAUUUCUUGUGGCGUGCAAGUGAACAAUACCUGACGUGACUAUGAAAAAGUUGUAAUGGAUUAUGAGAAUUGUAUUUUCCCUUUCCGGAAAGAGUACGUACAGUGAAAGCAAAAUUGUUUCUCUUUAAUUAAUUAGAUACAUGUUGUAUAAGUUUUGCGAAUUAUGAAUCUGAAUUUUGGUGUGUUUGUUCUCGCUACUGUGUUUUGUUUUAUUUUAUUAAGUGAAAUCUGUUUUCUUGCUUAGUCAAAUUAAAUGUUUGGCUUUGACAAUUCAAAAUGUUUUAUUUUAUCGUAAAGGGGUGUUUGGUUCCUCUGAAAAAAUAUUCUAGAAAAUAGUUUUAUAGCCGAAAAGGUGAACAAUAUGUGCUAGGGCUUUUUUUGCAUUUAGACCCCUGACAAAUUUUUAUUUUAAAAAUAGCCCUGUCAAAAUUUAAUUUGCAAAAAUGGCCCUCGACCUGCCACGCAGGCGCCACGUCAGCGCCACGCGGGCAGGGCUGUGCCCGUGUGUUAAGUUGAACACGGUGAACCAUUCACCGUGUUCAAACACGGUGAAUGGUUCACCGUGUUUAGUACGUAUUUUUUGUUACGUAUUUUUUGUAUAUUGAAAAGUGGAAUAAGGAGUAGGGAUGUCAAUAGAUAUGGAUAUCCGAAAUAUUAUNNNNNNNNNNUGAAAGAAGUAACAGAUAUGAAAACUGUAAAUAUGCAUGCAUGCUUUUCAUUAACUUUACCCAAUCUUUUGGUUAACCCUCUGGUUAACAGCUGGACAAGUACGUUAGUCCAUAAAUUUACCGAAUGCAGUGGUUAACCCUUUGGUUAACAAUAACUCACCAACGAAAUCCCUCACGGGCCCUAAGCUGCCUCCCGAUGGGACCGUCUGUCAGACAAGUACGUUAGUCCUGGGGCAAGUACGUUAGCCCAACAAGUGACUACUCCGGAGCUCACUGCCUGGGGGGAGCGACCACCACCAAGCUAAGAAAACAGACUAUGUGAGUAAGAUCUGAUCCCCUUUUAGAGGAUUCAACUGACAACAAUGUCACAAUUUAACUCUAACUAGUUCUUUAUACUAGUUUCCAAAUCUCUAGUCAUGAUGUCACCAAGUUUACUAUUGUCUUGGUCCAUGCAUUCAUAGGGUUCUAUGUCCACAAUCUAAGGUUCACAAAUUCUCAUUGUUGAUAGGAAUUCACAUUUUCACUCGCUCAAUGCCAAACACCCUAUAAUGCAUGACUACAAAUAUAAAUAUGCUCAACAAAGAAUUAUAGACAUAAAAGGUGAUUCAAAGAGUUCGGAUAGCACCACCCACCUGUAGUGGUGUCAAUCAACUAGAAUCCAUGUCUCGGAAAGCGUCGACGACUAUCUCUCGUGACUCCGUGCAAAUAGGACUAGAGCGGUCUCUACCGUAAUUAGCGUGUCGUCGACCUGUCGGAAAGUCAAUUUAGACUCUUGGGCAUGUUUACUUUACACUUAUAAAGGAUUAGAAAAGAUUAAACUAGAGUCAUUACUCAUAUUUUACAAGUUAGCAUUUCAAUGCGAUAUAAAGCGGCAACUAUAGCCGAAAACCUUCUUUUGGCGAUAUCUUUGCGUAGGUUCGUCGGAUUGCCGAACCGACUUCGCCAACGCGUUUCUUUUACCCUCAAUUUGGUUUACACGCCGUCAAUUUCGCAUUAGGACUCUUAUUUUGCAAAAGUGCAUUGCCGGGGUCAGUUUUCUCAAAAACACUAUUUCAAUGCAAUUUCACAAUUCAAUAGAGUAAUUCAACUCUUUAUUAGCCCAGGGACCUCAAAUCAGUUAGUAAAAACUGUCCAAAUACUUCGAUUCAUCUUUUCUCUCUAUUUCAUUUUCUUUCUUUUCUUUCUUCUCUUUCUUUUCUUUCCUUCUUUCUUCCUCUUUUCUUUCUUUUUUUGUUUUCUUUCUUUCUUGCUGGCCCUGUAGGACAGCUGCUGCUGCUGCCACUGUUGCCACUGCUGCUGCUGCUAGCUGCAGCUGCUGCUGCUGCUGUGCUGCUAUGCUGCUGCAGCUACUACAAGCUACUGCUGCUGCUGCUGGCUGAGCUGCUGCUGCUGCAGCAGCUUGCUGCUGCUGCUGCUAAGCUGCAGCUGCUGCUGCUGAUGCUGCUUGCUGCUGCUGCUUACACUGCUGCUGCUGCUGCUGCUGCUGGCGCAGGCUGCUGCUGCUGCUGCUGCAGCUGCUGCUGCUGCUGCAGCAGCUGCUGAGCUGCUGCUGCUCUGCUGCUUGCUGCUGCUGCUACUAGCUGCUGCUGCUAGCUGCAGCUGCUGCUGCUGAUGCUGGCUGCAGCUGCUGAGCAAGCUGCUGCUGUAGCUUGCUGCUACUGCUUGCACUGCUGCUGCUGGCUGCUACUGCUACAACCAGCAGCAGGGAGAGGGGGAGAGGGAGAGAGAUAAUUUACCUUUUUGUUCUCUUUUUUCUUCUUCUCUUUCUCCUUUCUCUUCUUCUUCUCUUCUUUUUCUUCUUCUCCCCUCCCUUUGCUCUUGCUUUCCCUCUCUCUCUAGACGUAUGCUGCAAGAAGAGGUGGCAGGGGAUAAGGAUGGCCCUGGCUGCAGGUUAGUGGAAUUCCACUAAGUCAUAUGCUAAUUACCAAAAUGCCCCUCGACUUACUCCGUUUAGUCGCACGGAUUAUAUACCUUCCGUAAGCCCUUCCGACAGUCCGAUUGAGCUCAAAUUUGGCAGGAAUGAUCGUUUUUACUUAAUAAGUCCACUGAAAUUUUAACAUUUCAGUUUCGACCCCGUUUGGUCACUGCGAACUGUACCGAACUGAAAUCUUUAUCCGAUAGCUUUCGGAUUCAAUUUCUCUCUCUACGGGUGUCAGAAAAAUCUGAAACUUCAAAUCUAGCCUCAUAAUAAUGUUCCUGACAUCUUUGCCAAUUUUCAUAAUUUUCUGACACUGUGCAUUUUCUGCUAAUUUUCUCAGCCCCGUUCCUUACAAAAAAUUCUAAAUUUUUCGUUUUCGCUCCGAUUUCACCCAAACACUUCCAAAAUACACCAAGGGACCUUCCCAAGCUACCAAUUUAAUUUGGAAGCAAUUCCUUUUCAUUUUGACAUUAUUUGAGCCGAAUUAGAAAUAGAAUCGGCUCCAAUUCCAUUACAUGGCCUUUUUGCACUACCACUUCGCACUGAGCUCUUUAAAACCUUGUGAAAACACACCCUUGGCUUUACCAAAACUUCACAAUUGAUUCGGAGAUACCACAAUUUAUCCUUAGGCCUUACUUUAAUUCUUUUAAUCAAAGUUAGCGUCGGAAUUGCGAAAAUUCUCUUUACUCUCUUUAUAUUUCGUUUCGCGCCCAAUUUGCGCCGACACACUUAUUUCUCUUUGGAACUCAUUCCAACGCAUCACAAAUCCCUCGGGGAUGAUGUACAACUAGCUCAAUCCUCACUUUGACCCUCUAGGUCAAAGUUGACAUCGCGACUCCAAGUUUCCAUAUGUUACAUUCUCCUCCCGUUAACAAAAGUUUCGGCCGCGAAACUUAGAUCCAUAUUACCCCUUAUUGCUUAACGGAUGGAGAUAACUUUCCAAAUGCUAUUCCAAAGUUUCUCAAUUUCAUUACAUACUAUACUGAUUUCUCCAAAUCAGUCUCUACGAACACUUUGUUCGCAUUUCCAAUCUCAACUCGUCAUCGAUGCUUAUUUUAGCAAUUCUGACUAAUUCACCCAUAGAACCAAGCUUUUGCUUUCACGGCCUCUACUCAUAAUCUACUUACAUAGGUCCACUACACUCGCUUUCAGUAUGAACGAGUAAACCAGUACCACAAUUCGGUUCCUAAGUUACCGAUCCGAUACAGGCCGAUUGCCUAACCCAACCAUGAUACGACAUAUUGCCUCUCGCUCGCAAGCGCAAACCCAAUCAUCAUCGGGCGAUAUUCUCACUGGAGAAUUCGCACACACUCCAACUAGGAGAAACCAAGACCCCAAACCACGCCAAGUCCUCGGGUUGGGUCGCUACACACCCUGUGUGUUCUCGAUCUCACGAUCUAACACGUGGCAUUCCACGUACUCGGGUCCAAGCUCGGACUACCGUCCUGACCAAAACUCUCUGCCCUACCCGUAGGUACCGGGCCGCUGCCUCUCGCAGCUGACUGCGCCUGCCCAAUAGACCAGGCUCCACAGUCCAAAAAGGGUCCAGGCACGGAUCGUCCCCAAGCACUACCCGCCAACGUAGUCCUACACGACAUGCUCUACAGAGCUACCCACUCUAACGGCUCUUAAGCACCUAGUGCGAGCCAACAGCCUUAAGAGUGACCCAUGGCCCGCUUCACACUUAGCCCUGCUGAAGUGCUACUGCCAAUUCACUCUUCAGGCUGAUCCACAAUCCACAAUCUACGGACAACUAACUCAAGGGUCCAACACGAUCGCGUCUCUCGCUAGAUAGCACUCAUCUAGUGCUCGUUAGGCAACUUAGCCUAUGACUAUCAUACAUAAACACAAUUUCCUCAACUGAUUUGAGGUACAACUCAAUUAACUCGCCAAAACCAGGCGAUCAUCUAACGACCUUCCAACAGUAACGCCAUUACUGUUACGCAAUCCCUCGGAAUAUCAUCCGACUUCUCAAUGUCGUGCGUUCUAGCAAAUGAACUACUAAUGAAUGAAUGCAAUGCACCAGUGUCAAUAAUAUACGCGAUCUAGUAAAACAAUACCUGCCACGACAUCGUCGACUACGGCAGGAUCCUCAACCUGAGCUGCAAAGACACGACCACUCGGUGCAGGUCGGGGUGGCUCGUACUGACGCGGCACAAAAGUAUGUCCAGCUGACAUAGCGGGUGGGGGACCCGCACGCUGCCUCGCAGGCGACUGAACUGAAGCUGUAGGCUGAGCAGAUGAUGCUCCUCUCGGGCAAUCACGACUAAUGUGUCCCGGCUGUCCACACUUAAAACAUUUACCGUCCUUUUGUGAACAAGCUACCGCUUGAUGAUUCCCGCCGCAAAUCACACAUCCCGGGGGUCCCUGAUACGUCUGCUGUGGCUGUGGAUACCGAGGGGGCCGUUUAGAGCUCGACUGUCCCCCGGCGCCACCAGUGGUUCGCUUCUUUCCCUUUUCUCUUUCUCGUUCUCUAUCAAACGACUCGCGUUCCUCACGCGCAAUCGCAUUGCUGCGCUCUACCCAAAGAGCUCGAUCCAGGACUUCCUCAAAUGACUUUAACUUUAGAGCACUAAUUAUCUUAAAUAUUUCAGGCNNNNNNNNNNNNNNNNNNNNNNNNNAAGGAGAGAUGCAUGCUCCAAAAAUUACAAGAAACUAAAGGCCUUUCACAACCAGAAUGCAAUUACCGAGAGAUAAGUAGAUAAAUAACACAUCAGUUAAUGAAACAAAAGAAUGAAGGGCUUGAAGCUUAGAAAAACACAAAUAUUAGAGAAUUGGUUCUUAAAAGAUGUAACUAGAUCAAAAACAAACUGAAAUCAGAAACUUGAAAUCGUUGUUUUAUGCUAGAUUGAUUCUAAUAGGAAAAACAACAAUCAACAACCACUCACUAUGGCAUGGAUUUUUUUUUUUAUUUUUUUUUUUUUGGGUUUUUGAAGUUCUUGCACUAAACGCAAAUAUUUUGAUGUGAAACAAGUGAAAUUUGGUGAUUCGCAUUAUUUGUCGUGCAAAAUGAUGGAUUUCUGUGUGUAUAAUCUUAUGUUUGACUACACACACACUUAUUUACUGAAUCAUCAGGGUCAAAAGAUUUUGAUAACUCUCAAUGCAUAGCUUCGUGAUCCCUCUUCUGCUGGUCUGAUCAAGCAAGUAAAGCCAUUCACUAUUAAUUGGUGGUUUUUUCAUUCACUUUUUGUGAUGGAUUUUGUUUUAAACAGCGAUAGUUAACUAUUCUUCUCCCAUCAAUUGUUGAUUUCGAGAACCGUUGCCAUGCAUUAUAAACAUACCUACUUCUCAUAUCGGUUUGGUUAGUUGAAUAGCAGAUGUAAACCUCAAUGGAUGUAUCGAAGGUCUAAAAAUCAUCCUACAGAUAAUAGAAUCUCAUUUAUACAACAACAAUACAACAUACCUUCAAAAUGGUUUAGAACUCAUCGAUUAAGUAAAGUCUAAAUGCUACAUGGCUUAAAUAGGCAUAUUUUCUCACAAAAUCUUCAAUUAAUGAGAUGUUCAUCAUGUAUUUUCCAUUGAUACAUUAGAACCAACUAUAUAUUCAAGCUUCUGAAUCUAACAUAAAUAUUGAACCCUUUGGUCCAGAAAGACAUUCAUGAUCGAGUACUACAUAUUAAAUGGUACAUCAAAACAUAUUUUUUGUUGAUUUAUCGAACAAGUAGUUUCGAUAAUAUCAUUAUGUUUAAGCUACUUCCUUGCCAGAUUCAAGUUGCGCCUUUUACCAUCUUCGAGUGGAUUAUAUGUACCAUUGAUAAUCCAUCUCUAGUUCGCACAGUCCGUUGUUGCUUAAACAGUGCUACGCACGCUAAUCGGAUAGGAAACAUAACAGAAAAAUCGGAGGCAUAAAUCGGAAGCAUAACACUGAAGUACAAAUAACAUUCCAUAAGAUUGUGGAAAUAGUUCAUCCAAUCAGGAAGUGAAGUCGCCUUCCAAUAAAGCUUUUGUUACCUCAUGGGCCCCUGUGCUGCCCAAAAAAAAAGAAAGUACUGUGAGAUCAAAAUUGUGGUAGUAGCCAUAAUUCAGCUGAGAGAAAUCUAAUUGCACAUCUCUUACUUCGAGAAAAUUGUUGUUUUUCAUAUAUGUCUGAUGGCAGAUCAGACUCUGAAGAGCCACCAAAGAUCAAGGAAAAUCGGUAAAACCAAUUAACCAGAAGAGGCAUGCUAAAAGGCUUGAAUGAACGAGUUAGGUCCUGAUUAAUUGCACCAAGGCUCAUUUUUUUUCUAGUACACCCGUUUCAAAGAUGAGGCAUCUGAUAUUGACGAUCGAAUACAUUAUCAUUAAGAUAUUUGAACUUUGUAAGAACAGUUCGAUCCAAAUUUUUUAGGAAACAUUUUCUACUUCAAAGCAACCACAAAUAAACAGUCAUGAAAUCUAAACAAUUGUUAGAAUAGAUUGAUAGAAUAUUAAAUUCAAGAUCAGGGCUGUAGAUUUUGAUCAUUCGUUAAAAGAAUACCGAUUUGCAUUCUUCAUACCGUAAAUUAGAAAAGGUCUAGAUGUGCCAUAAAAUGUCAACUUUAAUGAUUGUUGGUCACUAUAUAGUAUGACAUUGAUGAAGUCAUGAAAUGAUACCUAAGGCUUCAAUUCUAUGAGCUCAUUUUUAGUGACGCCGCAUCCCCGGAGGCCAUCCCAAUUCUAGGACUACUUCUAGUCCUCACACGCUAAACUCUUCUUAAUCUCUUAGACUACCAUCGCCCAAAAUGUUAUAGACGAAGGUUAAAAGAUUUAGCCCUUAUUAAUCUUUACUAUAGCUGAACUACCUUGAGGUCUGCGACAUUGCUUCGCCUCUUUUAAGUCCUGACGUCUCGUCAGGCUAAAACUCACAAAUGAUCAGGCGAUGUGAAAUCUAGUCUCGCUAGCCUAACCACUUGUUGGUGAGCGGGCUCGCACACCACAACAGUCAACACAUGAAACCUCACUCCGCUGACCCGCGUAUAAUCCUUGGCUCACCAAGACUAAUCUCACAGCUUUCAGCUUAGUAAUUGACUCUGAUACCAACUUAACGCGUAAAGUCAUUUUCUAGGAAAUCACUUAUUCUAAGACAGACUGCUAGUCCUAGCAUGGCUUAACUUAAAAUAAUAUAAACCUAAAAUAAAACUCAUUUAAUAAUCCUAUAUAAGGGUUUGAAUACUACAUUUUAACGAAACCGACACCUUAACACAGAUGUUUUUACCCUCCGAGAAACUAUUCGGAAAAGUCAACUGAAAAUAGCAUAAAUUGGUCGAAAUAUUACAAACUAAGUUCAAUUUGAAUCAAACAACUUAGCUCAAUCAUACAUUCAUUUCCAAACAUUUGCACAGUGAUGACAUCUCAUUUAAGUAUUUUAAACUGCCUAAAAUCACUAUAAAAGUCUAAUAUCGCUAGUGAUCAAAAUCCCACGAUUUGAAGCCUCAUAAAACACAAAGGUAAACUCAUCUAAAAACUCUAAAAACAAAGGCAAUUCAUAUAAGUAUUAUUGCCUCCCAAAUUCAAGUAGAAAGAACUAAAAAGUAAUUAUCAGGAUUCAUUUUGGGCUCUUAGGGCGCGCCACACCCUAAAUUACAAGAAAAAUCUCGUAAUGGGCAGAAACUCCCCAUUUAGGCGCUCAUAUUUGAAUAUAGUGUCAUAAAACUUCAAACUAUAGUCAAUUCAUAAUAAGAUACGCCUUGGACCUUCAAAGAGAAAAGGAAAACAUGCAUGCAGACCUAAAAUAUUCAUACUCUUUGAUAUUUACAAAGUACAAAAUCGAUAAUCUACUUAAUUUGUUCUCUAAGCUAGAGUUUUAACUUGAAAAGUGGGUUUCCUUCUCCAAAAGUCUCCUUCUAAAUUCCUUCAAUUUGUAAGGGAGAAAUCCUUCUUCUCAUGCUGAAUAAAAAAGAGAAGAAUCUAGGACUGAGAGAAGGGAACAUAGGAAAAAGAAGAUGAGAAUAGGGAAUAAAAGAGUUUUUCUCUCUCCGCAUUCAAACCACCCAUUUAAAAGAGUUAGUCAUUUUACUCAACAUUUCUUGGAAAAAUUUUAGGUUGGUACGCAAUAGUUAACUCACUCUAAGUUCGAAUAUGUUACAAUUUUAAUUCAAAUUUACACAAACACCAUAACAAAUGGUUAAAAAUCCCCAAACUACCGCUCAAAGCUGCAGGACUGCAUCGACGACUGUUAGAAAAAUUGCAAUAACCUCUGUCGUCCGAUAUCGUUAAGGAGCAUUCAGGUUCGUUAGAAAAGACAUAAACUCACGAUCUUUCAAAGCAGACCAAUUUUGCCAAUCUGAUGUCAAUAACCUAGUUAAAAGUUUACCAAAUGUCUAUUUGUGCAAUGGCAGAUUAGACUCAACUGUCUUGAAUUUUCGUCCUCGUAAACAAUUCGUUUUGACAUCAAUUGAGUUUCAAACAUCAUUAAAACUGGCCAUCACCCUGCUAAAAUUAUUUUGAAAUCUUUAAACAUUAAUAGUCAAAUUUGGGGCGUUAUAGUUUCUUACAUCCCGUUAAAAACAGCGUUUCGGCCUCCUUUUAGCCGGAUAUAGCAUUUUGGCAGUAGAUGCAGCCCAAAAGUUAAGAGAGUUAAGUGUGGCUAGAAUUACGGGGUGACCCUUGGAAGUAGGCGUUCCAUUGGUAUUAAGCCAAAUUACCAGCCGAAAAUGUGAAGAUAAGUCUUGGCUGAUGGCCAGGUUAUAACAGCGGCGAAGCGAGGCUCUUCAUGCUGAUGACUAUUCCUGGGAUGAAAUGCGCAGCUCACCACAAAGUUGGUUUAGGCUUCAAGAGACAGAUUCUUUACCAUUAAUUGAUACGUUGUGAGUCUGAAACCGACGAGCGACGUCCAAAAAACAAAGGCGCUUUUUAAAGAAUGAGAGAAAUUGAAACCGGCCAAGUAGUCCUAUAUGUAAAGAUAUAAUAGGCUGAAAAGCCUCCUUAACCCCGCUAUAGAAUUGGCGUCACGGUAGGUCUAGAGAGGUUAAGAGAGUUAAGCGUGCUCGACUUAGAGUAAUCCUAGGAUGGGUGACGCUUUGGAAAGUGCGGGCGUCACAGUUGGAAUCAGAGCUAAUUACUAGUUGGAAGUAAUGAGAUUAGUCCUCGAGUGAGCAGAUUGUACAACGGGAGAGGCGAGGCUCAUCAUGCUGUUGACUGUUAGGUGGAGGCGCAACUCACGCAAUAAUGUCGGUUUAUGUUAGCGAGACGAGUCUCACGACACCUCGUACUUGUGGAGUCUCAGCGCUGACAGAGACAAUUAGGGCUUCAAGGUGAGGAAAUUGCGAGACUCCAGGUAGUUCUAUAUAUAAGAAUAAUAGGUUAAAUACUCUUAAAUCCAUCUUAAUCAUUUGGGUGGUGGCUAGGUUCCAAGAGGUUAAAAGAGUUAAGUGUGAUAGAUAGGAGUACGUCCUAGGACGCAAUCUUCAACGUGCAAUUAUCAAUUUGGAUACUAUAUAUAUCAUUCGAUAAAUGAAACCUAAUAGCACCACCGUGUUCGGAUUUUAGAAAUGAUAAUUUUUGAUGAUACAAAAUAGAAAAAUUUUGGAUUUUACUUUUUCAACAUAGUAAUUUCAGGUUUUAGUUGGUAUUUGAAAUGAACAACCGAACAAAAUUGAUCAAAGAUAGUCAUUCAAGUCAAAAAUUUCCAAAAUCAGCUCGGACAAAAUCAAAUGUAUCAAAUUGGAUGCAAGUAGCCCAACAAUAUAUGGAGGGCUUCUUUGACUCUUAUUGUAACAAUAUGGAAACUGGCAGUCGCGAUGUCAACUUGACCUAGAGGGUCAGUGAGGAUUGAGCUAGUUGGACAUCAUCCCGCGGAAGGGAUUUUGUGAUGCCAGUUGGAAUGAGCUUCCAAAAGAGAAAUAGUGUGUCGGGCGCAAAUUGGGCGCGAAACGAAAUAUAAAAGAGUAAAGGAAUUUUCGCGAAUUCCGACGCUAACUUGAUUAAGAAGAUUAAAGUAAGGCCUAAAGGAUAAAUUGUGGUAUCGUCCGAAUACAAUUGUGAAGUUUUGGUAAAGCCAAGGGUGUGUUUCACAGUUGUAUAAAGAGCUCAGUGCGAAGUGUAGUGCAAAAGAGGCAUGUAAUGGAAUUGGAGCGCGAUUCUAUUUCUAAUUCGGCUCAAAUAAGUGUAAAAUGAAAGGAAUUGUUCCACAUUAAAAUUGGUCAGGCUUGGAAGUCCGCUUGGUGUUAUUUUGGAAGUGUUGGGUGAAAUCGGAGCGAAAACGAAAAUUUAGAAUUUUUUUGUAAGGAUACGGGCUGAGAAAAUUAGCGUAAAAUGCAACAGUGUCAGACAAAUUUGAAAAUUGGGCAAAGUGUCAGGAACAUUAUUUAUGAGCUAGAUUGAAGUUUCAAGAUUUUUUCUGACAACCCGUAGAGAAGAAUUGAAUCCGAAAGCUAUCGGAAUAAAAGGAAUUUUUUUUCCAAAGUUUUCGUAAGUUCGCAGUGACACAAACGGGGUGCGAAACUGAGAAUGUUAAAAUUUCAGUGGAUUAUUAAGUAAAAACGAUCAUUCUCCUCUGCCAAAAUUUGAGCUCAAUCGGACCUCGAAAAGGGCUUACGAACGUAUAUAAUCCGUCGACUAAACGAGUAAGUUCCGAGGGCAUUUUGGUAUUAGCAUAUGACCUUAGUGAAUUCACUAACCUGGCAAGCCAGGGCCAUCCUUAUCCCCUGGCACCUCUUAUUGCAGCAUACGUCUAGAGAAGAGAGGAAAGCAAGAGCAAAGGGCAGGGGAGAGAAAAAAAGAGAGAGCAAGAAGAGAAAGGAGAAAGAUAAGAGAACAAAAGGAGAACAAGGUAAAUUAUAAAUCUCUCGACUCUCUCCCCCUCUCCCUGGCUCGGUUGUAAGCAUAGCAGGCCAGACAGCAGGCAGUGCAAGCAGUAGCAGCAAGCUACAGCAGCAGGCUGCUUCAGGGCAUGCUGCAGCCAGCAUCAGCAGCAGCAGGCUGCAGCUAGCAGCAGGCAAGCUAGUAGCCAGCAGCAAGAGCAGAGCACAGGCAGCUCAGCAGCUGCUGCAGAGCAGCAGCAGCUGCAGCAGCAGGGCAGCACAGCCUGCGCCAGCCAGGAGCCAGCAGGCAGCAGUGUAAAGCAGCAGCAGCAAGCAGCUCCAGCAGCAGCAGCUGGCAGCUUAGGCAGCAGCAGCACAAGCUGCUGCAGCAGCAGCAGCUCAGCCAGCAGCAGCAGCAGUAGCUUGUAUAAGCGCAGCAGCAUAUGCAGCCACGCAGCAGCAGCAGCUGCCAGCUUAGCAGCAGCAGGGGCAGUGGCAACAGUGCACAGGCAGCAGCUGUCCCUACAGGGCCAGCAAGAAAGACGAAAACAAAAAAGAAGAAAAGAGGAAGAAAGAAGAAAUAAAAACGAAAGAAAGAGAAGAAGAACAAAAAGAUUAAAUGAAAUAGAGAAGAAAAGAUGAAUCGAAGUAUUGACCAUUUUUUUAAGCUAACUGAUUUGAGGUCCUGGGCUAAUCAAGAGUUGAAAUUACUCUAUUGAUGAAUUGUGAAAUUGCCAUUCGAAAUAGUGUUAUUUUGAGAAAACUGACCCUGGCAAAUGCACUUUUGCAAAAUAAGAGUCCUAAUGCGAAAUUGACGGCGUGUAACCAAAUGAGGAAAAGCAAGAUGCGUUGCUCGAAGUCCGGUUCGGCAAUCGACGAACCUACGCAAAGAUAUGCGCCAAAAGAAGUUUUCGGCUAUAGUUGCCGCUUAUACUCGCAUUGAAAUGCCUAACUUGUAAAAUAUGAGUAAUGACUCUAGUUACAUCUUUUAAUCUCUUAUAAGUUAAAGUAAAAUGCCAAGAGUCUAAAUUGACUUUCCGACAGUCGACGACACCUUAAUUCCGGUAGAGCCGCGCUCUAAUACUAUUUGCACGAGUCACGGAGAUAGUGUCCGACGCUUUCCGAGACCAUGGAUUCUAGUUGAUUGACACCACUUACACAGGUGGUGGUGCUAUCUCGAACUCUUUGAAUCACCUUUUAUAGUCUAAUAUUCUUCGAUGAGAACAUCAUUAUAUUUGUAUGUCAGCAUAUGGGGUUUGGCAUUGAGCGAUGUGAAAAUGUGAAUUCCCAUAUCAAGCAAUAAGAGAAUGUUGUGGAACGCUUAAUUGUGGACAUAGAACCCUAAUGAAUGCAUGGACGCAAACAAUACGUAAACUUGGUGACAUCAUGAUAUAGGAUUUGGAAACUAGUUAAGAACUAGUUAGAGUUAAAUUACAUUGUUGUCAGUUGAUAUCCAUACUAAAAGGGGAUCAGCAUCUUACUCACCAUAGUCUGUUUCUUUAGCUUGGUGUGGUCGCUCCCGACCCAGGCAGUGAGCUCACGGAGUAGUCACUGUUGGGCUAACGUACUUGCCCUAAAAAACAUGCAGGACUAACGUACUGUCUGACAGACGGUCCAUCGUGAGGGGGCACUAGGGGCCGUGAGGGAUUUCGUUGGUGAGUUAUUGUAACACAAAGGUUUUAACCACUGGCAUUGGGUAAAUUAUGGACUAAACGUACUUGUCAGGGCGUUAAACAGAGGUUCACCAAAAGAUUGGGUAAAGUUAAUUGAAAAGCAUGCAUGCAUAUUUACCAGUUUCAAUCUGUACUUCUUUCAGCUUUUACUAGGCAUUGUAGUACAAUUAAUGUUAUAUGUUUGGUUAGCUAUCUGGCUUACUUUUCUGCCUUACAUAUGGCCUGAGUAGACGCUAGGUGGUGAUCGCGAAGUCCGGCAGCCGAACUCCACUGGGAAGCUUUCUUGUAGCUUCUCACACACUAACCAUAACAGCGUUCCAAGUGGCGAAGUUUUGAGGGUGAGACGUGGGCCAAGGGCCCUGCAAGCUUAAGCUAGGCUGACCACAGAGUUUAGCACCAGUUACCAUGUUUGAGUCAUGUAUACAUUCUCAUUUUGAUGUACAGAGACAUGUAAUGAAUGUAUAAAAAGCAUGUAAUAACUAAAUGUUUCAGUUAUGUAAAGUUUUAAAUUACAGUGGAUUUCAUGUUUAGUUAGACUUACUAUCAGCUUGUGUUGUUGCUUGUCUUUGUGCAAGCCAUGUAUAUUGAAAAUGUGAGCCUGGAAAUUGUUUAAUUUCUUUAUACAUGUUCAUUCGUUGUUGUCCGAGCCUUGGCGAACAGAGGGAGGUGCUGUCGUUCGCGUCUGUGUACGGGCCCGUCGACCAAAUUGGCGAUACGGACGUGACAGAUAAAGUGGUAUCUAUAGCAAGUAUAGAAAAGUCCUAAGGAAUGACCUAGGGGACUUAGAUUGGAAACCUAGGAAACCAGGAAAUCGCGAGUGCGUGAAUUUAAUGAUAGCGAAGCCAACAAUUGGGUUAGUUGUUACAAGUCUGCUAAUGUUAAUUAGGGGCUGAUGCGCUGAAGUGCUUAUUUAUAUGGGCAAGCAAAAGAGUUAGUGUUGAAUGCCACAACACAUAAAGCUAAGGUUGAGUAAUAAAUGACUUGAAUUGCUUUCGCCUGUUGUUUGUUUUACUAAUGGAGUUUUGAAAUGUUCGUUCAGGAGAAAUGCCACCGCGACGUGUAACGAGAUCCACUCCGGCAUCACCCUUUGAGGUGAGCCAGAGCAGUCUGUGGUCGGAUGAGGUUCAGGAGCUUGCGUGCUCCAAGGUGAGCGCGUUAGAGGGCUAUGCAGAGGCAGACGGAGAACAUAAGAGGUUGCAGGAAUUGGUGUCGCAACAGGCGGACGAACAGCAGCUUUGGGAAGUCAGGAUGUACCUUAUCGCGGAUCCGCCAGUGUAUUAGCCCCUCCCUCCAGUUGAAUUAUUCUCCGUGGUCUCAUGACGCUUCUAGUUCUGAUUCGGCGCGACAACGCCGAGCACGAGCGAUCCUUAUCAGGUAUGACGCGUUCAUUGCAGGUUUUAAUCCGCCAUGUUGACGGGAAAGAAGCCGCGAUCUUGGGUAUUGGAGACGUGGCUUUCAACAUCGAUGGAAGCCUUGUUUUGAGGAUUUAUAACCCUGGAACAAUGAUAAGGUUAUUUGCAAGCGCACUGUUUGAGCAAGGAUGCCAGAUUUUGUGGCAAAAGGCAAGAAAAGCUCAGGUCUAAACACUUCAUCGCAUUACCUGGGAGGAGUUUAUGAGAGAUUAUUCAUGGAAGUACUUACCCAGAUAGCGACAGAAGAAAGUUUGAAGGAUAGAGUGUAGGAAGUUGAGACAGCGGGAACCGUUCGGUACGGGAGUACGAAGGGGUUUAACUCAUUUGGUGAACCUGUGUACCAGGCAUGGUUCAUACUGAUAGAGAUCGAGCAGAGUACUUCGAGCGGGGUUACCUCUCUCUCUCUCUCUCUCUCUCUCUCUCUCUCUACCUCUAUUCUCUCUCUUUCUCCCCUUUCUCUGUCUGCUCUCUCUCUCUCUCUCUCUCUCUCCCUCUCUCUGCCUGCUCUCUCUCUCUCUCUCUCCCUCUGUUAUCUCUCUCUUUCUCGCACAAGGCCCCCGCAAAACGCGGGGAACGCGCCGUACAAACUCUCGAUUCAAGAGUUAUAUAGAUAGAUAAAGUAGAGUUCGGGCGAAAUCAUGGAGGAUUUUUUGGUAAGAACAUAUAAAAUAUAUUAUAAACGGCGUAUUUCUAUAUGCAGAAUAUAUACGAUAUUGCAUACAAAAAUAAAUGUUAUUUUUUUAUCAUAUUUCUUUUAUUGUACGUGCCAUAUUUUUUUCACAAUUGUAAAUAAAAUCUGAAUCUACAUUGAAUAUUCUAGUGUAUAUACACAAUUUAUAAUAUUUUUCUGUAAGGCAACAUUAAAAUUCUGUGUUUUAUAAAUUAAGUAAUACAAUGUAGCAUUUGAGCAUCUCUAGUCUAUGAAAUAUAAUACUCUACUACUUUAUUAUUUAUUCACAAAAAGUUAAAAUAGAAAACACAAAAAAGGUGAAAUGCUAUGUUUUUAAGCAUAAACUAGUAACAAUUUCCGUGAAAUUACAAAUUAAUUGUCUUUUGUGGAUGCAAUAUUUCUACAGCUAUACACAUAAAUUACUUCCAACAACUGAGAUCCAUCACCGACUGUUCCUAGAGCAAGUGACAAAGGGCUUGGUGGUUGGUAUCGAGACUCAAGUUCGAAUUCUAGUUGAUUCACAUUUCCAGCUAAGUUUAUUCUAAAUGAAAUAAACAAAGCGGAUAGCGUGCUACCUUUCUCUCAAAAAAAAAACAACUGAGAUCCAUCUAACUGUAGAUAUACAGAAUUUACAUUCAAAAGUUAAGAUCUAUGUUGUUGUAAAUAUACGAUUUAUGUGUAUCAAAUUAAAUUAAACAACAGUAUUCUUCAAAAAUUUAAGCUGAUAGAGUAUGGUAUUUUUUUUUUUAUAUUUAACACUCGCUCUCCCAUUUGGACUCGAAAUCUUUUAAUAAACCCAUAAUAUGCACUUGUAUUAAAUAUAAAGAAAUAUGAUGUGAUUCAAAUACAGGAUCUCCAUCUGAAGCUGAUAGAGAACGAUAAUAUUAUAUUUUCAUAAUUAACAUAUAAAACAUGCUCCCACCCUUGUGAUAAUAUAUCUCUAAGGACUUGAUAGUUAGUAUUUGAAGUUUUAAGUUUGAAAUAUUUUUUUUUAAUUUUUUUCUUGAGUAUUUAUUCUCUAGAAUUUUCUUUAAAAUAAAAAAGAAAGGGUCAAAUGCAUACAGCUCCCUGCAAAUAUAGCCAAUUGCGGAUAUAUUCCUGCAAAAUCGAAACUCCAUAAGUUGUCCCUGCAAAAGUUUCAAGUUAUGCAGAUAUGUCCAUGCAGUUAACAUCUGUUAAUAAGCUGUUUGUUUUUUAACAGCGAAGUCGUGAAAUGACCAUUUUACCCUCACAAAUAUAUCCCUCCAAAAGUUUUCCUCUUUCCCUUCUCUUUCUUUUCCUUUUCGGACCGUCGAAGCAGACGACGGCGGCGGCGGCGCGGGGUCAGGUUCGCCGGCGACGAAGAAGAGGGAAGAACGCCGGGGCACCGGAGCUCUACCCGGAGCUCGUCGCCCUCAACGCCAUCCCCUCCCUCGUCGGCCUCCUCGGCCACCACAUCGCCGACAUCGCCGUCGACGUCGUCUCCCUCUUCAUCGACCUCACCGACGCCGACGUCCUCGGCGACCACGACGACCCCGCGCACGCCCUCGUCGCCGCCCUCGUCGACAACAACGCCCUCGAGCUUCUCGUCAAGAAACUCGUCCGCCUUUCCUCCGAGACCGACCCCGACGAGGUUCUUCUCCCUCGCCGGUGACGAAGAAGAGGGAAGAGGAAGAGGAUGAAGGAAGAAGGAAGAAGAAGGGAAAAGAGGAAGAGGGAAGAGGAAAAGGAAGAGGGUUCUCCACCGUCGCCGUCGUCGCCGCCGCAUCUCCUGGCCGGCGACGAAGAAGAAGGAAGAGGAAGAGGAGGAAGAGGAAGAAGGGUAAAUACGUCAAUUCACACUAUAAUUAACCAUGGUUAAGUAUUUUAACCAUGGUUAACGAAAAUUUUCUAACAGAUCUGGACGGUAGGGACAUAUCUGCAUAACUUAGGACUUUUGCAGGGAUAACUUAUGAAGUUUUCAAUUUGCAGGGAUAUAUCCGCAAUUUAUUAUGUUUGGAGGGACGUGUACGCAAAUAACCCGAAAAGAAAAAACAUGUAACUCUUUAACAUGACCUCACUGCUUACGUUUGAAAGAGCUAAUAAAUAAAGCCACUAGAACUUAAUUGCACUACAGCAGGUGGGUAUUUAAGCUGCAUUUGGUUCGGAUAUAAAUAAAAACAGCUUAUUUUAGGAACAAGUACAAGUUUAUGUAUAAGCAAAAAUUAAAUCAAUUUUUUGUUCAGAGGAAAAUUAGAUUGUUCUUGUGAAUAAAAUAAAUAGUGUUUGGAUAGUUAGAUUAGAGCAAGAGGAAUAAGAAUUAUAAUUCUAAAUUAAAAAUAUUUAUCUAAUUAAUUAACAUCAAAAUAUUAAUUAAAAAUAAUUUAAUAAAUUAAUAAGUUUAUUAGCUGUAAAUAUUGUAUAAGAUAAUAAAAGGAUAUUGAUCAACUAAUUAAAUAAAAAAAUAAUUUAAUUUUUUAAUUAGUUAGUAAAUUAUUGUAAUUAAAUAACUAGUAAAAAAUUAAUUAGAUUAAUAAAAAUAUUAAUGGUUGUUCAAUAUAAAUGUUAGUUUAUGGAUAAACAUAUUAAAUUAUUAAUAAUUAAUUAGUUAAUUAAUUACAAAAUAAUAAAUUAAUUAAUCACUUUAUUAUUUAAACAAUAAAUAAUGAUUUAAAUAUAAUAAUUAAAUUAGUUAAUAAUUUAAUACUGUAAUUAAAACUAAAUUUAAAUUUUAAUUAAUUUUGUUCCUACCCGGAAACAAAUUUGUUCGCGGAAAAAAAUGGUGGAACAAAUUUGGACCACCUUUCCUAAAGCUAGCUAGGGGGAUCGAUGACAUGCCCUUUGUUAGUACUGGAAAUGCUUCUUUCUUGUACUUCCGACAUGUUAAUCACAAGGACCAUAAAUUAAAUACUAUCAUUAAUUUAUCAAACAAAAUAUUAAUUAAUUGCUCUCCAAUUUGUCUGUUUGGCGGUUCUGAUGCACGGUAUAAUAUGCUAGCUGAGAUUAAUCUUUAAUCGCGAGAGAAGUACCAGCAUUCUUAACUAAUUAUAAUCUCCACAAACAGACGCAGAGCUAAUAUACUUUACAUCGACGAAACACAAGCAUACACACUACAUCGCAGCAAACAGUGAAGCAGAGUCGGAAGGCAAAGAUGAGAGCGUUGAGUACUCGAUCAAAGAUUCAUCACCAUCAGGUGGCCUUUCUCCUGCAGGCUCUUCACGGUCUCAUAGAGGCAUUGCAUCGCCGGCGUGAAUUCGAGGCCAAGGUCCUUCAACCGCUGGUUCGAGAACUUAUACGGUUGCUUUCGAGGAUUUAUCUCAUCUGAGCAUCUGCACAUAUAUGUAUAUACACACACACUCUUAAAACUUAGUAGUUACAAAAAUGUUAAUGAACAAUUAACAAUAAUUAACAAUAAUCUCAGGGCAUUUUAAUGAAAUAAUUGGAUUAUGGCCUAGAGAUUAGAGAGGGGGACUUCAGGUGACCUGGACUUAACUCAGUCCAACAAAUUUACAAGAAAAUAAAUGUAGGAUGAUGAUCCCUUGAAUAAAAUUACUAACUAUGUGGCCGUUUUAAUCGCCACGUAAUUUUGUUAGGCUUCAAAUUGCUACAAAAACUAUCUUAUUCCUUCAAAUUUUGAUAAUUAAGUAUACGAAUCAGAGAAUAAUUAAGUCACGCUCGACUAUAUAUCUUUGUUUUUUGUUGCUUUUUUCAUAAAUUAAAAAUAGAAAUGAUUUUCUUUGUAUUUAAAAUUUAUAUAAAAUUAUGCAACGCAUACACGGUCAAAACAGUUGUAUAAUUAGUAAUUUUGAUUAAAGAAAAAAGGCUAUAAAAUUCUUUGAAAAUUUUAAUAGAUCCAAUUGCCAAAGUCGGAGUUUAGAAAUCUUUAAAAAAAAAGCUAAAUUUCAAAAUGUGUUAAUACACUUUUUUUAAUUUACAAAAUUGUACCUAAACCAAAAAAAAAGAAAAGAAAAGAAAAAAAAAAAGCAUGACCUCAUUAACUAUGUCAUCACCUCACCUAUAACUCACUCAUAUUUGUUCCUGAAUAUAGGUCUUAUAUAUCAUUACCAUUUACUAUUCUUCUUUAACAUUCCAAUCAAAAUAGUACUUUAAUAAAGGAUCACAUGUAUAUAUAGUGAAUAAAAGUGAAAGAUGCCUUACUAAUUAAUAAAGUUACAAUCAAUCAAGUUAAAGCAGAGGCAAUAAUUGGUGGAAAAUGUUUUGCCUAGUUAGAUAUCACCUACCCAUAAUUAGUGACCACCACCACAUACAACACCAAAAUUUGGCAAUGAAUUACUAAUCAUCUUCCUUUAGAAUAUUGUUAUGGGUAGGAAAGAGAAAUGUUAGGAAAAUCCCCAACUACUGGCCAUUUUGAAAACCUUUAUGUAUCAUUUGAUGAUUUUACUUUGCCAAGUUGGUGGCCAAGUAAAAGCGAAACCAGUAUUUAGUUAGAACGUGUACAAAAUUAACUUACCAACUAUAUUAUGAUGAGAUACAGAGGAUUUUACUUGGUCACCGACGAUUCUUAUGUUUUGCAAAAUAAUUAUUGUUACAAUUAAUAGUUAUCAAUUGUAAUUGUACUUAUUGUUAGAAAGGAAAUAAAAUCUAGUAAUGCCUCUAUUGAACAAGCCUUAUAACUAAGAUAAAUGACAAAACAAAACUGAAACCUUAAUUUCAGUCAUUGAACACUUCUUUUUUGCUUUUAAAAAAAAAAAAAAAAAUGGAAUUGGAAGCUUGAUCUCCUACAACCCCAUCAAUCUUGAGUUCUCAAACUUUUAAUUUGUUGCAAUAUUUGACUCGAACUUUCAGAAUUAUUGCAAUCAAAUCCUAUAGCCCAAUUUUAGCAACUAAAUGUUGAUAAUCACUAAUGUAGGGAUAACGUAAUAGUGGUGCGAUUGAUGAUGCAUCAAUAAUUACGAUGUCACAUCACGUUACAUCAACGAUACAUUAAAAUUUGAUCAACUAAAUUGGAUUGUAAAACUUGAUUGCAAUAUUCUAAAAAUUCGAGUAAAAAAUUACUACAAAUUAAAGUUUGAGAAUCAAAGCGUUACCGACCACAUAGUUUGGGGACUUGUCCAUAAAUAAAUGAACAAUUAAGAUUAAACGUUUGGUUUCCUACCUAAGCCCCAGUAGGUUGGCAUAUUUUCUGUCACAUAAACUUGAUGAAUUAAACUCUUUUUGGAACUUUGGUUAGUUCCUUUUGUUUUUUCUCUUCAAGAAACAAAUUAGGUGACAACCUUAUAUCAGUUUGGUACAACCGAAUCAUUCACUUGUACAAUCUUUUUUUAUUAGUAGGGAAAACUUCAAAAACCCUCCCUGUGGUUUCACACUUUUUCAUUUUAGUACCAUGUGGUUUAAAGUUUAUCAAGUUAGUACCCUGUGAUUUCUCACUUUAUCACUUUAGUACCCUGUGGUUUAAAGUGUAUCAAGUUAGUACCCUGUGGUUUUGCACUUUAUCACUUUAGUACCCUGUGGUUUCACACUUUAUCACUUUAGUACCUUGUGAUUUAAAAAACCACAGGGUACUAACUUGAUACAAAUUAAAACCACAGGGNAAACAACGAUUUCAAGUUCUGUUUUGAUCUGUUGCAUCUUUUAAGAACACUUUCUCUAAAUAUUUUGUGUUUUCUAAGUUCAAGCCCUUCAUUCUUUGUUUCAUUAAUUGAUGUGUUAUUAUCUACUUAUCUCUUGGUAUUGCCAUUCUGGUUUCUGAAAAGCUUUAGUUUCUGUAAUUUUUGUGACCAUGCUAAUUCACUCCCAUGAUUUCCAUCAGGAGGGUUGAAGUGUAUAAGUAUUGUCAUCCAUUGAUACUCGACUGAUCUCAGUGUCGAAGCUCAGGACCUUAUGCUCUGAUAUUCAUUGCUCUGAUAUUCAUUGAUAUGACCAUGUUCGCAUGCAGCGUGUGUUGAUAAAUUUUUUGUAACAAAUUAGAUUAGCAAUAUAUCGUGGGAAAAAUUUUUGCUCCGACUGUGUAUUUCUUGUGGCGUGCAAGUGAACAAUACCUGACGUGACUAUGAAAAAGUUGUAAUGGAUUAUGAGAAUUGUAUUUUCCCUUUCCGGAAAGAGUACGUACAGUGAAAGCAAAAUUGUUUCUCUUUAAUUAAUUAGAUACAUGUUGUAUAAGUUUUGCGAAUUAUGAAUCUGAAUUUUGGUGUGUUUGUUCUCGCUACUGUGUUUUGUUUUAUUUUAUUAAGUGAAAUCUGUUUUCUUGCUUAGUCAAAUUAAAUGUUUGGCUUUGACAAUUCAAAAUGUUUUAUUUUAUCGUAAAGGGGUGUUUGGUUCCUCUGAAAAAAUAUUCUAGAAAAUAGUUUUAUAGCCGAAAAGGUGAACAAUAUGUGCUAGGGCUUUUUUUGCAUUUAGACCCCUGACAAAUUUUUAUUUUAAAAAUAGCCCUGUCAAAAUUUAAUUUGCAAAAAUGGCCCUCGACCUGCCACGCAGGCGCCACGUCAGCGCCACGCGGGCAGGGCUGUGCCCGUGUGUUAAGUUGAACACGGUGAACCAUUCACCGUGUUCAAACACGGUGAAUGGUUCACCGUGUUUAGUACGUAUUUUUUGUUACGUAUUUUUUGUAUAUUGAAAAGUGGAAUAAGGAGUAGGGAUGUCAAUAGAUAUGGAUAUCCGAAAUAUUAUUCGAAUUCAAACCCGAAUAAAUUAUAUAUAUAUAUANNNNNNNNNNNNNNNNNNNNNNNNNNNNNNNNNNNNNNNNNNNNNNNNNNNNNNNNNNNNNNNNNNNNNNNNNNNNNNNNNNNNNNNNNNNNNNNNNNNNNNNNNNNNNNNNNNNNNNNNNNNNNNNNNNNNNNNNNNNNNNNNNNNNNNNNNNNNNNNNNNNNNNNNNNNNNNNNNNNNNNNNNNNNNNNNNNNNNNNNNNNNNNNNNNNNNNNNNNNNNNNNNNNNNNNNNNNNNNNNNNNNNNNNNNNNNNNNNNNNNNNNNNNNNNNNNNNNNNNNNNNNNNNNNNNNNNNNNNNNNNNNNNNNNNNNNNNNNNNNNNNNNNNNNNNNNNNNNNNNNNNNNNNNNNNNNNNNNNNNNNNNNNNNNNNNNNNNNNNNNNNNNNNNNNNNNNNNNNNNNNNNNNNNNNNNNNNNNNNNNNNNNNNNNNNNNNNNNNNNNNNNNNNNNNNNNNNNNNNNNNNNNNNNNNNNNNNNNNNNNNNNNNNNNNNNNNNNNNNNNNNNNNNNNNNNNNNNNNNNNNNNNNNNNNNNNNNNNNNNNNNNNNNNNNNNNNNNNNNNNNNNNNNNNNNNNNNNNNNNNNNNNNNNNNNNNNNNNNNNNNNNNNNNNNNNNNNNNNNNNNNNNNNNNNNNNNNNNNNNNNNNNNNNNNNNNNNNNNNNNNNNNNNNNNNNNNNNNNNNNNNNNNNNNNNNNNNNNNNNNNNNNNNNNNNNNNNNNNNNNNNNNNNNNNNNNNNNNNNNNNNNNNNNNNNNNNNNNNNNNNNNNNNNNNNNNNNNNNNNNNNNNNNNNNNNNNNNNNNNNNNNNNNNNNNNNNNNNNNNNNNNNNNNNNNNNNNNNNNNNNNNNNNNNNNNNNNNNNNNNNNNNNNNNNNNNNNNNNNNNNNNNNNNNNNNNNNNNNNNNNNNNNNNNNNNNNNNNNNNNNNNNNNNNNNNNNNNNNNNNNNNNNNNNNNNNNNNNNNNNNNNNNNNNNNNNNNNNNNNNNNNNNNNNNNNNNNNNNNNNNNNNNNNNNNNNNNNNNNNNNNNNNNNNNNNNNNNNNNNNNNNNNNNUUCACACUUUUUCAUUUUAGUACCCUGUGGUUUAAAGUUUAUCAAGUUAGUACCCUGUAGUUUCUCACUUUAUCAAGUUAGUACCCUGUGGUUUUGCACUUUAUCACUUUAGUACCCUGUGGUUUCACACUUUAUCACUUUAGUACCCUGUGAUUUAAAAAACCACAGGGUACUAACUUGAUACAAAUUAAAACCACAGGGUACUAAAGUGAUAAAGUACAAAACCACAGGGUACUAACUUGAUACACUUUAAACCACAGGGUACUAAAGUGAUAAAGUGAGAAACCACAGGGUACUAACUUGAUACAUUUUAAACCACAGGGUACUAAAGUGAAAAAAAUUGAAACCACAAGGGGGGUUUUUGAAGUUUUCCCUUAUUAGUAUUAAUUUAACUUUUGUUUCCUUCAAGCGCAUGCAUGCGCAAAAGUGUUCUCUGUAAUAAAUAUUUCACACAGAAUUAUAUCAAGCCAAUACUAUUGAGAUGAAAAUACUUGGUUAAUUGUUGUUGUUUUUAUACAAAAUAUAUCCAUCUGUUACGAAGAAAAGUUAUUUCCCACUUAACCUUUCCACUCUCUGAAUUAACCAUCACUUCUCAUCCUAUAAUUUCUAAUACAGCUCCUUAGAAGCUAGCAAUUCUAUUGCAACCUAAAACAUAUGUAGAGAGGCCAACUGUUCCUAGCCCAAGCGACAAAAGUAUAUACAAUGGUUAGUAAUUGGGGAUCCCAGUUCGAAACAUAGUUAUUUUAUAGUAUGCUACUUUUUUAUUAAGAGAAAAAAAAAAAAGAGAGACAAAUUUAGAGAUGAGAAAUGCAUUUAGAGAUAUCAAUGGACACGGAUACGGAAAGUUUAUUUGAACUCAUACCCAAGCUUAGUAGAAUUAUUCAAUACUAAAUAAAUAUCAAUGGGCUUGGAUAUGAAUUUUUAUAUCCAUCAGAUUCGAAUUCAGUUUCGAAAUUUGGGUUUGAUAGUUGAGUUUAGAAACGAAUUCGAAUUUUUAAAAAUCCGUCUCAAAUCCGACCCAUUGACACUACUGCAUUGACAAUUAUUAUAUAUACCUGGUGGGGACGGGGUAUUCCGGGAAGAAUUUUCCGAGUAUCCGGACAACGUCCUCACGGUGGAGCACGCUCUCGGCGCACAGGUACCGUCCGGAGGCGGCGGGGGACUCGUAGACGCGCAGGUGGGCGUCGGCGACGUCGCGGACGUGGACGUAGGCCUGGACGGCGUUGGCGAAGGUGCGGGCGGAGCCGUCGAGGUACUUGAGCACGUGCGCGGUGCUAGCGUUGAUGCCCGGCUGCAGCAGCGGGCCGAGCACCAGCACCGGGUUCACCACCGCCAGCUCCAGACCCCGCUCCCGCGCCGCGUCCCACGCCGCCUGCUCUGCGGCAGUCUUCCCGUAACAAUACCAGUUCUAACCAUACCGUCACGCAUGCAUUCAAACAUAAAAUAAUAAUAAGAAUAAUAAUAAGUUCAGCCGUAAUUAACUGCAUACAAUUUUAGAAACUAACCAUAUGAUCUCGUACAUAACAACAGAUCGAAUUCGGAACGGAUUUUUAAAAAUUCAAACCCGAAUCCGACUCCAACCCUGAAAUUCGAACUCAAAUUCGAAACCGAUAAAUUUUAAAAAUCUAUAUCCAAAUCCGAUCCCGACCAAAAAUCUGGAAUCCGAAACAAUUAUUUCUUUUUUCAAUAUUUUAAAAUAUAUUACAUUAAAUCUAAAUUUUUAAAAUAUAAAUUCAAAUGUAACAUCAAACAUUUAUAUAUAAUAUUAUAUAUAAUGUAAAAUAAAUUUGGGUUUGGGUCGGGGUCGGGUUCGGGUCGGGUAUAGUCAAAAUCCAUAUCCGUCGGAUUUUUAUUUUUGAUAUUCAUAUCUAAAACCAUAUCUGUUUAGUAUAAAAUAAAUCCGCUCCAUUCGGGUUCAAAUUCAAAUAAAAUUUUGAAUAUCCGUACCCACUUACAUUCCUAGUUAUACAUACAAAUAUGAAAAAAAUUUAAGUGCAACUAUAUACAACUUUAGAUACUAAAAAGAUAAAUCUUUAUGUAACAAUACCAGCUCUAUCAUACAUACAGAAAAGAUAGGAAUAAUAAUGUAUUAUCCUAAAUAUUAUUUUCUGCAUGCAUUUUCAAUUUUACUUAGAUAUUUAAGUUUGAAAAAUUUUAUAUAAAUAGUAUUUUUACUCUUUUAAUUAUUAAAAAUAUUAUUUUUAUUGUAAAAUAUUUUUAAUAUUUUACUCUAUAUAAAGUAAAGUAGUUAAAACAAAUUAAUUAUUUUUCAUUUUGGUCAAAACCAAUAUUUCAAUUGACAGAAAAGUUGAGAUAUAAAACCACAAAAGUGUUUUAGUAAAAAGUUUAGGUCUUGUUUGAUACCGUUGUCGUUUUUUUUAUUUUUUUUGAACACUAUUUUUUAUAAUUUGAUGUGUUUAGUUUGUUAGCUUAUAAUAUAUUUGACUACAAUAAAUAGCAACUUAUUAGAAAAAUAAAAGUAAAAUUUUUUUUUUGCUAAAUAAAGUACUUAAUUUACAUGGAAAAAUUACUUAUAAUUCACAGUACACUCCUAUAGUUUUUAAUACCAAAAAAAUAUUUUAAAAAUAAAAAAGCGGACACCAUAUAUAGCAAAGGAGUCCUUAAUUUUUUGCUGUUGUUUCCAUAAUGGUUCUCCACGUCAUCAUCAUAUGCACCACAAGCUAUAAUGGUUCAUAGAGCUUCAUACUUUAAUCUCUCUAGUGUGAGUGGCAAACAUUUUACUGUUGUUCCUUAAUUUAAAUAUUCUAGCGAGUAUAAGUGAUGAGAAAGUGCAUGAGCUUCAAUUAAUGAUGUGAAUUAAAGCAUAAAGCUUGCUGCGUAGAAUGAAGUGGUGCACGUAAUUUUUGUUUAUAUCUUUUUGGGCAAAAAUGGCAAGUUUUUUUAAAGAGAAAUGCAAAGUUUACCUAGGACUCCUCGUUCAAGAACAAAUAGAAUCUAUUCACUUUAUUUUGAAAUUUUAAUUUUUUUUUAAAAAUUAUAUUUUUUAACUAUUUUUGUUAUUAUUAUACUUCCUAUAUAAAAAACAAAUAAAGAGAAAAAAAAGAAAAUUUAAUGUUUAGAUAAUCUGAAGAAAUAUUUGAGAUCUUUUAAACCAAAUUAAAAAAAGACAAAAUAAUAAAUACAUUAAAAAAAUUAAAAAAUUUUAAAUAACAAAUAAAUAAAAGUAAAAAUUGGUGAAACAACAGUAGCAAAAGUAGCUAUAGAUACAAUGAAAUUUAGAAUUGUAAAAGUUGAAAAAAAAUAUGCAAAAGUUAGCUCAAAGAAAAAUCAAUAGUCAAUAAAGAAUGAAGAAAAGAAUGAAAUAGAAUUAAUAGAAAAAGUUUUAAAAAAUGUUAUUAACCGACUGUCUCAAAAAUAUAUGACUGUAAUAGUACAAAAAUUGAUAGUAGUAAAGUAAAAAUAUAAUAUUCUUUUGCAACCCAGUUUUUUGCCGUUAGAUCUAAGCCUUUGAUCAUUUUCACCCGUUAGAUCAUAUUAUUCAACUAACCACCCACUCAAUCCUAGGGGGCCAAUAUUAACCUAAUCGGGGACCACUAUCAUCCUAACCGCAUAUCUCUUCAUCCAAUGGUUAGAAAUUUAGAAGUACAAAGUGGGCUAUACUCACAUGAGUAUAGUAGCCCUAGCCUAAAAGCAUUAUGAUUAGCACAAAAAAAAUACUUUAAAUAAUUAUUGCAAAAAUAUUUCUAAAUUGGCAAUGAAAUUAAAUUAUGUCAUAUAUAUAAUAGCAUUACGAUCAGGACCAGGAAAAAAAAAUUUCUAAAUUAUUCACAGCAACAAAUUGGAAGGCAAAAAAAAAAAANGAGGACCAGCCUCUCCGCGGCGCCGUCCAGCGCCUUCAAGUGCGCGUUCUUGGGGUCGUCUUCUCGCACCAAUCUCAAAGCGUUAAGUACCGUUCCAUCCCAUGCAACACCAAUCUUAAAGCAUUUCUCAUUUUCUAGCUACAUGCAUGCAUAUAUGCAUGCACGUAUGUAUAUAUAGAGAUAUAUAUAUAUAUAUAUUCAUAUGUACCUGGGUUACGUACGGUUCCUUUGACAGUGUAGCCCCUCUCCAAGAGGAGCUUGACGAGCCACGAUGCGAUGAAGCCCCCCGCGCCGGUGACGCACACGGUUCGGCCGUUUCCGGGGGCCGCUAAAGCCGUCGUGUCGUCGACGGUCAUGUCGUUUGAAGAUCUACCAAUUGAGAGCAAUUAAUUACCAAAAAAAAAAAAAGAAAGAAGAAGAAGUUUUAGAAGAGAAGGGUUAUUGCUUUGGUGGGAAACUAUGGUGGUGUAGUUGGAGAAAAAGGGAGAAGGGGAGGUGGUGUAUAUAUAAUAAGAAAAAGAAAGGUGGUGGGGCGUGUAGUGUAUAUAUAGAAGGUGAGAGUGAACACUACCUGUUUGGAUUCUCCCGAAUUUUAUAGCAGCAGAGUUUUUUUUUUUAUUUUGUACAAGCCAAUAUUGACAUCUGUAUAAAAGUGUGUGGAUGUUUUUCUAAAAAAAUGUCAAAAUGUAACAAAAAUAUCAUAAAAUACAAUAAACUUUUUGAAAAUAAAAAGAGCUCACAAUUAUAUAUGUUUUAUAAUUUUUUACUAUCAAAAUUUACCAAACUCAUAUUGCCCUUUCACAUAAGCACGGAAUGUUCUAGUAAUAAUAAUUAGUUUACGUAUUUUUAGUCGGGGGUUUAGAUACAAUAAGUUAUUAAUAAUUAUCUAUUAGAACAUUAAAUAUAUUAUAAGACAUUAUUAUACUACUAAAAAAUUUUAAUUUACUCAAAUAGAAGAUGGGAAAAGGGGGUAAGUAGGUAGCAUGGUUGAUUAAAUUUUGAUUUAUUCAAAUAGUGGGGCCCACUGUAAAAAUUGGAAAGAUUUUGAAGUUGUGGAUAUGGAAGCUAAAGAUUUGCAAGGUGAAGGAAAAAUAAGAAAUAAAAAAAUAAUAAAAAAAAAAGCAACAAUGCGCGGCAAUUUAUCAACCAGAGGAAAAUGCUUUAAUUUCAAAAAAGCGGGCACAAGGUGCAUCAUAUAUUUCGUGCGCCACAUCAUGGUUGGCAUUAAUUUUACAUCUACCCAUCUAACAGGUGUCAUUCUGUACUAAUUUUAUUAUUAUUUUUUAAUUAAAAAUUUAUUUAAUAUUUUAUGAAUCAUAGAGAGAGAGAGCUAGAGAGUCGGAAUCACCGUUAGAUUUAACCAUUUUAUUAUUUUUAUCCGUUAGAUUAUACUAUUCAACCAACAACUCACUCAACUCUAGGGUACCCAUAUUAUUCUAACCGUACAUUUCUUCAUCCAAAGGCCAAAAACCUAAUAGCACCAAUAACUUGGUGCUAUUAAUAACAUUCCGGCCUAUAUAUAUAUAUAUAUAUAUAUAGAGUGAGGCUACUAUGCUAUCGGAAGCACGGAGCCUUCUGUGCUUCCAGCUCGUUUUCGAUGUUACGACUUUCGAAUCGUCGAUCUGCUCCAUUAAACUUGAUCUAGACUAUUUGGAGUACCUAGAAAAUAAAUUUUAUUAUUUUUCGAUAUCAUUUGCCUAGUGAUCGAAUGAGCUCAAAAUCAAUAAAUUUCAAUGACCGUAGUGAGCCGUUUGCAAGUUUAACGGUAUAGAAAUAUCCAAAUCACGUGAAAUUUUGAUAGAAAAUUCUUUAUAAUAUAUAAAACAAGAUCAAUAUCUUUGAUUUAAAAUUUUAAUGUCAUAUUAUUACAUUUUGUAAGAUUUUUAUUUUCAGCCGUUGAUUUUGAGCCCCUUCGUUCACUAGGCAAAUGAUAUCGUAAAAUCAUAAAAUAUUCUCUAUGUACUUCAAUACUCUAGAUCAAUUACUCGGAACCGAUCGACGAUUCGAAAGUCGCAACAUCGAAAACGGCUGGAAGCACAGGAUGCUCCGAUGCUUCGAAAAAAAAGUGCCUCCUUAUAUAUAUAUAUAAAAUAUCUAUAUAUAUAUAAUAGUGGCGGUUAUGUCUUCUAAAGUACUGAGCCCGUUCCAUGCCUUUCAAGUUCUGUUCGAUAUUCGGUACUUAUCGACAUCGACGAUCGUCUCGCUGUUAGAGUUGAUUUUACGAUAUUUAUAAAUAACUCCAAGAAAAAUAAAUUUGCGAAUUUAUUCGAUAUCAUUUGCCUAGUGAUCGAAGGGGCUCAAAAUUAAUAAUUUUAACGGCCGUGGCAAGCCGUUUGCAAGUUGAACGGUAUAGAAAUAUCUAAAUCACAUGAAAUUUUGAUAGAAAAUUAUUUAUACCGUAUAAAACAAGAUCAAUAAUUUUGAUCUAAAAUUUUAAUGUCAUAUCAUCAUAUUUUGUAAGAUUUUUAUUUUCAGCCGUUGAUUUUGAGCCACUUCGAUCACUAGGCAAAUGAUAUCGAAAAAUCGCAAAAUUUAUUUUCUAGAUACUUCAAAUACUCUAGAUCAAGUCUAAUAGAGCCGAUCAUCGAUUCGAAAGUCCGAAUAUCGAAAACAACUUAGAAGCACGGAGCGCUUCGUGCUUCCAGAAGCAUACCAGACGCACUCACACACACACACACACACACACACACACACACAUAUAUAUAUAUAGUCCGGCCAGAAUACUAUCGAUAGCACCAAGCAUUUUGUGCUAUCAAGUUUUCCACCGUGAGAUUUAACCCUUUAACUAUUUUCACCCGUUAGAUUAUACUAUUAAACCAAUAACUCACUCAACCCUAAAGGGCCCACAUCAUCCUAACUAUACGAUUUUUAAUCCAAGAGUCGAAAACCUGAUAGCACUAAACGCUUGGUGCUAUUGAUAGUAUUCCAGCCUAGGUCUAUAUAUAUAUAUAUAUAUAUAUAUAUAUAUAUAGAGAGAGAGAGAGAGAGAGAGAGAGAGAGAGAGAGACUAUCGUGCUUUUGUAAAAGUACCAAUUAGCACAUGGUGCUUAUAUAUUUUUUACUGUUAGAUUUACGUCUUUUAUCAUUUUCAACCAUUAGAUUAUACUAUUCAACCAACCACCUACUCAACCUUAGGGGGUUCACAUUAUCCUAACCACACAUAUCCCUUAAUCCAAUGGCCAAAAAUCUACAAGCACCGUACUCGGUACUUUUAAAAGCAUAGUAGCUCAUAUACCACCCACUUAACCCUAGGGGGCCCAUAUCAUCCUACCCACAUAUCUCUUAAUCCAAUGACUAAAAAUCUACAAGCACCAAUAACUUGGUACUUUUGAAAGUAUAGGAGCUCAAUUUUAUAUAUAUAUAUAUAUAUAUAUAUAUAUAUAUAUAUAUACUUUUCAACCAAUUAACUACCUACUCAACCCUAGGGGGCCCACAUCAUUCUAACCGUACAUCCCUUAAUCCAAUGGCCAAAAAUCUAUAAAUACAAAUAACUUGGUACUUUUAAAAGUACUAGCCGAGCAUACGUGCAAAUGCACGUAAAAAUUAUUUUAAUUUAUUUUAAAUAUAAAGUUUUAUAUUAUAUUUAUUAAAAAAUUUAUAAUAAAAAUUAUAUUUUAUAAAUGAAUAUAUUAUAUUUUAUUAGAUAAUUUUUUUCAUAUAUGCAUUGAAUAUUUUUAUAUAUUUUUUGAAUUUUGAUAAAUUUAAA
Molecule: long non-coding RNA, 69898 nt
Filed under: Ananas comosus (pineapple)
Lineage: Eukaryota; Viridiplantae; Streptophyta; Magnoliopsida; Poales; Bromeliaceae
Description: long non-coding RNA (ACOM_LNC029688)
Source: RNAcentral